RNAcentral lists this long non-coding RNA (45915 nucleotides) under Sorghum bicolor (sorghum). Its description in RNAcentral is "long non-coding RNA (SBIC_LNC014457)". The stretch from base 4518 to 4624 matches the Rfam family "Plant small nucleolar RNA R71". Lineage: Eukaryota; Viridiplantae; Streptophyta; Magnoliopsida; Poales; Poaceae. The record is from RNAcentral.
AACCGCUAAGAAAGGAAAGCUUCCACAAGGUGAUACUGUACCAUCACUCUUCAAGCAAGGUAACAUCUUAAGGUACUUGACUAUCACUUUUAUAAGCUUCUCCUUGGUUCUGGCGUUCAUAUAAAUAAAAGAGACAAACAUGUAUGAUUUACAACUCUAGAUUAACAAACCCAACUGAUUCAACAUGUUUAAUCCUUUAACCCUUGUUCUUAGUACUACCUCCAUGAUCCCACACUCCUAAUCAUAUGAGCUAAAAUGUUACACAUUCAAUCAUUGAGAGAUAUAAAGAAAAAAGACAUAUACAUAGAUAGAUUAUCUUUCCAUAAGGUUGAGCAAUCUGAUCUGACAAAUGUUAUAAGUGCUACACUCAUGAACUUUUCAUCCAUCAGCUUUGUCUUGCUCACUAUGCUUAGGGUUAGAGAAGACACAAAUACACUUUAGGUUCUGUUGGUGUUUUCCACCAACAGGACCCAUGCACUUGCUCUCUGCCUUGUCUCUAUGAGCAGGUACACUUUGAGCAAAACACGGAGGAGUUUUAUAACUAUCAGACUCUACCAAGUAAAGGACCUGGAUCUACGAGCACAAACACACUGAGCAUGAUACUGCCAACGCCGCACUUCGAACUACUGGGCAAACAAAGAGGUGCAGACGUCAAGGUCCGCACCUGAAUCAAAUGACGCACCUGAAGAAUGAACACGAUGAGAAGUCUAGUUAAGAAGACUUAAAACAUUGAACCCUCACCGAAAGGUAAGAUGAGUAGUUGUCCAUAUUAAUCCUUUCUGCAUUCCCUUUUCCCUUUAAUUAUUUACUUUCCUUAAAUAGAUUAUUAGUUAAUCAUGCUAUCUUGAAAAGAAAAUAAAAAAUGUUAAAAAAUACUAAGCCCCAUGUGAGUAUACGAGUGGCAUAAAACCCAUAAGUACCUUCACUGUGGUGGCAUAAAAAUAAAAUAAAUAUUUAUUUUCUGCUUUAUAAAAUAAAAAUAUAAAAACAGAGAGUAAUAUUUAUUGAGGAAGCUCAACAUGAUGAAGGCUAGAUAUUUAUGCUAACACUUAAUUAGUUCCACAAUCUUUGUUGUCUAUUUGAGCUCCACAGAAUUUAAGAAUAAAGAAGACUAGCAAACGGAGGACAUCCUAAGCGUUGUCAGGGUGCUGCCGACAUUCAAAUACACCUCCGUCACCUGCUAGCUACAUCAGAAGAAAUUACGUCAAAAUCCAGCUUGGGGGAGAGCACCCCCAUUUAUGCAGCUAAGUGUUUCUACUCGCGUUUAUACUUUACUCAAAUAAUAAAAAGAUGCAUAAUCAUAAAAACCCAAAUAAAGAUUUUAUGCUUAUAUAUAUAUCUUUUCUUAGUUUGCUAAAUAAAUAAAUAAAUAAAGUUUGCUAUGAACCCUCAUGAUAAGCUCUCACAUGGAAAUGAUGAAUAGUUGCUCUGCCAUGAUUAGUUCUCAAAAUCGAAAUCUCUCUCAAGUUUAGGCAUGACUGUUAUGAAUUAAAAUUUGCUCUAAACCUGAACUUGUGGGAAGAGAACUUGAUCUGAAAUCUAAGUUGUUAACGGAUAUGAUAUGGGAAGGUUGAGCUGCUGUUUAUCUGUUCCUAGAGAUGCUAGAAUUCUGGAGAAUUUUAUCUUUGAAAAAUCCUUAAAAUAUUGCAUGAUGAGUUCCUGUAUGAUGAGAGUUUAAAUUCCUACCACAGCCAUAUAUACAUGCUUGCUAGACUUUGAGCCACACAUUUAUUAUUUACUGCUUAUGAGCAUUGAGUGUGGUCAAGCUGUGUAGACCCUUAGGAGCUUGUCAUGUGGUUAAAUCAAGAUUCACUUGCACAUUCACUCAUAUAUGCUACUUCUACUCCGGAAGUACCAUCCACAUAUAUCCACUCAUUUCCAUCUCCAGAACCACCCAAAAAUAUUCUACUCCUAAUCCGGGAGAGAAUAGCCAAAAAUAUUUCUGUUUUCCCUUGUGCAAUAAAUGCUCAAGUUAUCUUGCUAGUACUACUUGCUAUAUUAUCUCAAGAGAUGAGUGCUCUGAAAAGGAAAAAAAAGAGAGAAGAAAAGAAAAAAAAUAAUAAUAAAAUAACGAGGAAAUAAAAAGGGGCAAGUGCCUGGAACCUCGAAAGAAAGAAAAAGUGAGACGAGAGGUAAAAAUGGACAAGUGUCCGACAGUAGAAUUAGGGGUACAGGAUACCCACCUGAGAGGAAAGAAAAAAAAAUGAAAGAUAGAGCAUCUCAUUCUCCUCAUAAAGUUUCAAAAAGCAAGGAAGGUAUGUAUCCCCUCAAAAGAGCAAAAGUAGAAUUAGACUUCCACCAUUGUUAUCACCAUCAUCACCAUACACCAUUCAUUCGCCACACAUGCACAUCUUGAUUUGACUUAUUGACUUGUUUCUUUGGAUCCAUGAUUUGACUAUACAAUAAAUGUCUUGUAAGUAUGUAUACUUUAUCUCCCACCUAUGAGCUCUAGAUAUCAAACCUUAUUAGAGUAGGGUGAGAGAGAAGGCAAUGUCACUACGCCUUAUACCACAAAUACCACAUAUCUUGAGAGAAGGCAUAUACCAUCACUGCCUUGGUAAGGAUCUAGAAAUACCACAAAAUAGAGAUUUAGAGAGUCAUACAAGGAAUCUCUGAUUUUUAUUUGAAAAUCUGCAAAAACUCCAGAGCUAUAGCUGAUCAAGAAUAAGAGACAUGGCACUUGGCUAGACUGUUCUAUCUUUUAACUACUCAAGACAGAAGUGACGGUUACAAGUCCCAUGGUGAAAGGUAAAGUAAGUAGGUUUUAGUUCUUGACAGUUUACUCUAACUCAGAGAUUAGAUCUUAUUUAAAAGCAUGUGUACCGUCAAAUUUUUAAGAUAUUGCAACAACUUCUGAUCCAUUGCUGAGUCUAUCCUUGCUCAGCGAUGAGCAAGACGUAAGCUUGGGGGAGUUUGUUGACGGUCCUUAAGUAUCAAAUUUAUUUAUCAAAUAAACAAAGAAAAGGAUCCAAAUAAAAUCAACAUCUAGACUUAGGGUUUUAUCUGACAGAAUUCCAUGAGUUUUGGUGUUUGUCUAUUUCUGCAGGGGGUUAUCAGGAAAUACGGAAGAAAGGCCCACACGUCGGGAUUACAUAGAGAUAUUAACGUGCUGCGCAAUUAUCUUACAUCUAGAAGACUCCAGAAGCCACGGGACCGAAGCGGAGGCGAAACGGGGCCAGAGGCAGGGCGCCCGCCCUGUUCCCCUAGGCGCCCGCCCACCUCUGGAGUCCAAUCAGGACUCUGUUUCUCGGGAGAUUUCCACCGACCUAAAGGAUCAAGAAUAACCGUUCAAUCAAUGUUGGUUUGAUCUGACGGCCUUGGUUCACUUGAAGGGACUAUAAAACCAGACCCCCUGGCCUCUGGAGGAGGCACCCCUUGAUAAUUAUUCAUUAUUCAUAGACAGAGCAAAAGCUAGGGUUUAGAGAUGAGAGCUCUCCUCUCUUCUCUAAACUAGAGUAGAUCUAGAUAGUAGCAAGAUGGAGAGCGAAGGAGGAUUAGAGGAGAGGCCAGCCUGUCGGUUCUUCCUCCGGUUGUACUUCAUCAUGAUCAAGCUCUAAUCAAGCUUGCUCAUGGGAUGACUCUGGUAAUCUACUUCUAAUUCAUUAUGCAAUUACUAAUUAUGUAUGUUCUGGUUCACAACUCUAUUGAGUAUUCUAAUCUAUAGGACGCUAUAGGUGAGAGUUGUAGUAUAGGUAUAAGCGAGGUGCUUAGAUCUAGAUUACUUGUGGAUAUCCCCUGUCUAGCUGGAUCGUGUGGUAGGCCGCGUAGGUGAUAGUUACGUUGGUUCUCUGUAGUCCACCUCUCGUUAGCAGGACGGGUAGGGUUUAUCGGCCUAUGGAUAAGCAUCCUUUGUGGUGUAAUCUUAUCACGUAGUUCAUCCCAGACAUAGACAUACCCCUUUGAAGUAGAGAAACCAUAGUUAUCCUCUCUAUUCUGCUACCAUCGCCCAUAUACUAGAAUUGCUCUAUUCUCUACUCCCAUAUUAUCACUCACUGUUAUCUUACCUUUAAUAUUGUUCUUAUUAAAUUCUACCAUCUUUCCUUUUUACACUUAUUUACUUAUCUUGGUUAAGUUAGGGCAUAGAUCAGUUCUCCCGUUUCCAUGUGGAUACGAUAAAACCUUUAACCGGGUAAAAGCUUCAACGGUAUCUGUGCGCUUGCGGAUUAUCUGUGUGCGUAUAAAUACCAUAGUACACUCUAGUGCCAUGCUGGGGAUGACAACCUAGUACUCAAGUGGUGUUAGCAAGUGUCAACACUCUAUCAUCGAGCUUCUUCAUGAGCAGGUCUAGCUUUGCAGACAACAUGUCUACCUCCUUGAGCUGAUGCAUACCUCCACCUCUCUUGCGUGUCUGGGUCCUCUCUUCAUUCUAGCUUUGAUUGGACGCCAUCUUCUCCACAAGAGAUGCGGCUUGUGGUAUAGUAAGUGAUAAAAAUGCUCCUCCAGCUACAGCAUCCAUGGUCUCUCGGGCACUGUUGCCGAGCCCAUGAUAAAACGUCUAAAUCAAUAGCCAACUCUCCAUUCCAUGAUGGGGACAUUCUAGGAUGUAGUCUUGAAAGCGAUGCCAUGCUUCUGGAACAGAUUCAUCAUUUUGUUGCUGAAAACUUGUAAUCUUCCCACGGAGAGCAUUGGUCUUGCCCAUGGGAAAGAACUUAGCCAGGAAGUUUGUUGAGCAGAGUGCCCACGUAGUAUUCUUCUCCUUUGUAGCGUAGAACCACUGCUUCGCUCUUCCUAACAGUGAGAAUGGGAAGAGGUGAAGUAGUAUAGCAUCUUUGGAAACUCCUGAUAUGGUGAAUGUGUUGCAAAUCUCCAGGAAGUGCUGUAGAUGAGCACUAGCAUCUUCGUGUGCCUUCCCACAGAACUGGCUGGAUUGGACCAUGUUGAUAAGUCCAGGCUUGAGCUCAAAGUUGCCAUCGAUCUCUGCAGCAGGUCCAGUGCGGAUGUUGUCCGUAGUGGGAGCUGAGAACUCGCGGAUUGAUUUGUUUGCCAUGGCUUCGAACUCUAAAGACAAGUUCCGGUGAUCUUCUUGAUUAGAUGAAGCUUCUUGCUGAAGUGUUGAUGAUCUCUUCUUGAGCUUGGCUCUUGUCUUCUUGAAUAAUGCUUCGGGAUUGUCAACAAAAUUUCCUGGAAGAUGUCUUCUAUUCAUACAUUCCCCAGCAUAAGAUAAAAUAGAAAAAUAUCGGGGUAAAACUGUAUGAGAGAAUAGAUAAGUUCAAUAAUAUUAGUGAUGCGAAUGAUAACUCAAAAUCUUUUAUUUCAUUCCUGAUUAUUAAUCAACCUUCCCCGGCAACGGCGCCAAAAAUGCUUGUUGGGUAUUCUUAACAUCAUUACCAAAAGUAGACUUAGUUUUCUAAUUAUAGUAACGGUGCCAAAAAUGCCAAACCUAUCCCUCAUACCACUUAAGCCAAGUUGUCAUCCCCAGCAUGACAUGAGAGACGCGGUAUUGAAAUAUGCAAUUGCUCUUCUAAAUAAAUGAAUGGGAUCUGCAAGCGCACAGAUUAAUACCGAUGUAGCAUUUUAACCGGGAAGUAUUCCAGGUAUCGUUAUUUAUAUUUUUACCCCUAGGAAGGGAUUAGUGUUGACGGUCCUCAAGUACCAAAUAUAAUCAUCAAAUAAACAAAGAAAAGGAUCCAAAUGAAAUCAACAUCUAGACUUAGGGUUUUAUCUGACAGAAUUCCACAAGUUUUGGUGUUUGUCUAUUUCUACAGGGGGUUAUCAGGAAAUACGGAAGAAAGGCCCACACGUCGGGAUUACAUAGAGAUAUCAACGUGCCGCGCAAUUAUCUUACAUCUAGAAGACUCCAGAAGCCACAGGAAGGAAGUGUUGAUAUUUGGUAACGCAAUUAGAAAAUGAUCCGCAAGCGCACGGAUAUCGGUGAGCAUUUCACCCGGGAGAUUUUCCAGAGUAUCGUAUUUAUAUUUUUACCACUGGGAGAAAGGGUGCAUCUGACUAACCAAAUCUAUUGCUAUUACCCCUUUAGGCUACAAAGAAUGUUUCUCGAUGUGAGUGAUAUAUAGAGAAGACUGCAACCGUAGUCUCGUUCUAACCUUGGUAAGGAUGAUCUACUGUUCUAUUGGGGAGGCUCACGGAAUCUAGACAACACAAAGGAUGUUCGACCCGCACCUAUAAACCUACCCGUCCUGCUAACGAGAUGUGAUCUGCAAAGGUAACUUGGAAAUGUCACAUUCCUCGCUACUACCACGGUCCAGCUAGUCAGGGGAUAUCUAUGAGUACCCUAGCCUAAACACCACGUUUAUGCUAGCAAGUGUUACUCUAAUGCUCAACCGGAAGAGGAUUAAAGUAAACUCAUAAACCAAAGAACAAUAAAACAAGAACUUACUAGUAAUUAGUAGUCGAAUUACUGAAGAAUCUUAGAAGCAAGCCUCGGGUUAGGAGACUUGAUCCCGCAGGUACAACUCGGAGUAGACACUGACAGGCCGGCCUUCCUCCGAUCUACACCUCCACUCUAUCUCUCUCAAUCUAGUAGAAACUAGAAGAUCUAUUUCUACUUUACAUUGGUUGCUAAGCCUAAAAAGAAAUAUUAUUUAGAGAAGAGGUUUUCCUUCGAGGGCACCCCUCAAUCUCUAUGAUAAUUUCUUCAUGUCUUCUCCAGGGGCCAGGGGGGUCUCCUUAUAUAGUCGUCCCCUUCUAUGCGUUUUUGGGUCGGUAGGCGAGGUGGUACUACGUUAUUCUGGAUCCAAUAGGUCGGUGGAGAUCUCCCGAGAAAAAGAGUCCUGAUUGGGCCCGGCAGGUGGGCGGGCGCCCAAGGAAACUGGGCGGGCGCCCAGGUCCUGGCCCCGUUUUGCCUCCGCUUCGGUCUCGUGGCUUUUGGAGUCUUCUUGAUGGUAGAAAAUUGCGCGAUGCGUUGAUAUCUCUAUGUAAUCCUGACAUGUGGGCCUUUCUUCCUUAUUUCCUGAUAACCCCCUGCAGAAAUAGACAAACACCAAAACUCGUGGAAUUCUGUUAGAUAAAACCCUAAGUCUAGGUGUUGGUUGCAUUUGGAUCCUUUUCUUUAUUUAUUUGAUGAUUAUAUUUGAUACUUAAGGACCGUCAACAAACUCCCCCAAGCUUACCUCUUGCUCGUCCCUGAGCAAGGAUGAACUCAAGAGUUUCUGCAGUGGUUUCAUGCCUUAAAAGUACACACGCAUUCAAGCAAGAUCUCAUCUCUGAGUUAGAAUAAACUGUUAAGACUUAAAACUUACUCAUUUUACCUUUCACCAUGGGGCUUGUAACCGUCACUUGUGUCUUGAGCAGUUAAAAGAUAGAACGGUCAAGUCAAGCGCCAUGUCUCUUAUUCUUGAUCAGCUAUAGAUCUGGGGUUUUUGCAGAUUUUCAAAUAAAACUCAGAGAUUCCUUAUAUGACUCUUUCAGAUCUCUCUUUUGUGGUAUUUCUGGAUCCUUACCAAGGCAGUAAUGAUAUAUGCCUUCUCUCAAAGUAUGUGGUAUUUUUGGUAUGAGGCAUAGUGAUAUUGCCUUCUCUCUCACCCUACUCUAAUAAGGUUUUGAUAUCUGGAGCUCAUAGGUGGGAGACAACUAAUACAUACUUACAAGACAUUUAUUGCAUAGUCAAACCAUGGAUCCAGAGAAACAAGUCAAUAAGUCAAAUCAAGAUGUGCAUGUGUGGCGAAUGAAUGGUGUAUUGUGAUGAUGGUGAUAAUAAUGGUGAAAGUCUAAUUCUACUUUUGCUCUUUUGAGGGGAUACAUACCUUUCUUGCACUUUGAAGCUUUUUGAGGAGAAUGAGAUGCUCUAUAUUUUCUCUUUUUUUUCUCAGGUGGGUAGCUUUGUACCCCUAAUUCUACUAUCGGACACUUGUCCAUUUUUACCUCUCGUCUCACUUUUUCUUUUCUUCGAGGUUCCGGGCACUUGCCCCUUUUUAUUUCCUCGUAUUUUUUUUCUUUUUCUUUUUUUCUCUAGAGCACUCAUCUCCUGAAAUAAUAUAGCAAGUGGUAGUAACCAUGAUUACUCGAGCAUUUAUUUCACAGGGAAUAACAGGGAUAGGAAAAUAUUUUUGGCUAUUCUCUCUUGGAUUAGGAGUAGAAUAAUUUCGGGUGAAUGUGGAGAUGGAAAUGAGCGGAUAUAUGUGGAUGGUACUUCCGGAGUAGAAGUAGCAUGUAUGAGUGAACGUGCAAGUGAAUCUUGAUUUUAACCACAUGACAAGCUCCUAAGGGUCUACACAGCUUGACCACACUCAAUGCUCAUAAGCAGUAAAAAGUAAAUGUGUGGCUCAAAGUCUAAUAAGCAUGUAUAUAUGGCUGUGGUAGGAUUUUAAACUCUCAUCAUACAGGAACUCAUCAUGUGAUAUUUUAAAGAUUUUUCAAAGAUAAAAUUCUCCAGAAUUCUAGCAUCUCUAGGAACAGAUAAACAGCAGCUCAACCUUCCCAUAUCAUAUCCGCUAAUGACUUAGACUUUAGAUCAAGUACUCUUCGCAAAAGUUCAGGUUUAGAGCAAAUCUUACUUCAUAACAGUCAUGCCUAAACUUGAGAGAGAUUUCAAUUUUAAGAACUAGUCAUGGCAGAGCAACUAUUCAUCAUUUCCAUGUGAGAGUUUAUCAUGAGUGUUCAUAGCAAACUUUAUUUGUUUAUUUAUUUAGCAAACUAAGCAAAGAUAUAUAUAUAUAUAUAUAUAAAAGCACAAAAUCUUUAUUUGGGUUUUCAUGAUUAUGCAUCUUUUAUUAUUUGAGUAAAGUAUAAACGCGAGUAGAAACACUUAGCUGGAUAAAUGGGGGUGCUCUCCCCCAAGCUGGAUUUUGACGUACUUUCUUCUGAUGUAGCUAGCAGGUGGUGGAGGUGUAUUUGAAUGUCGGCAGCACCCUGACAUCGAUUAGGAUGUCCUCCGUCUGCUAGUCUUCUUUGAUCCUUGAAUUCUGUGGAGCUCAAAUAGAGAACAAAGCUUUGUGGAACUGGUUAAGUGUUAGCAUAAAUAUCUAGCCUUUAUCAUGUUGAGCCUCCUCAAUAAAUGUUACUUAUUUAGCAGGAUCAUGCACUUCUUAUUUUUAUAUUUUUUUAUUGUAAGAUGAAAACUUAUUUAUUUUAUUUUUAUGCCACCACAGUGAAUGUACUUAUGGGUUUUAUGCCAUGAGCAUACUCACAUGGGGCUUACUACUUUUUUAACAUUUUUAUUUUCUUUUCAAGAUAGCAUGAACCUGAUUAACUAAAUAAUUGAAAGGGAUAGGAUAACUACCAAGUUUACCUCUUGGCAAGGCGUUCGGUAUUUUUAAGUCCUCUGAACGGGACUCUCCAUUUUCUCAAUUGUCCUGGGAUUUGCUGGAUGGCGUAGUCGGUGGUUCCGGUGGCACCUCCUCUUCAUGUAUAACUAUCUUCUCUCUUUGACUCGAUGCUACAGUCUCCUCAGGACAGUUCUGUUCAAGCUAUAUGUCUUCAGACCUUAUCACUUCUCCUUUGUAGUCUACCCAUCCGUCCUUGAUGAUUUGCCCCCUCUGGUUGCGGUUGUGUUGUCUUCUUCUUGUCCUGACCUGCUUAGAAUCUUCAACUAUAUAGUUAGAAUCAUUAAAGUAGUGGCGUACCUUCUCAGAGGGGAAGUGUAUGUGGACUUCUCCGGUUCCAAUAUAGAUGAUGGCUUUGAUAGUGUUGAGGAAUGGUCUUCCAAGGAUGCUGGGUGGAUCAUACUCGUCUUCUCCUAUGUCAAUGAAAAUGAUCUGGAGUUGAAUGUAUAUUGGUUGUAGGGGCAUGGUUCCAUGCAGGAGCUGGUAAGUGACUGCGGCCAUUAUGUUGUCGCUAGAUCUGGUGUCGUAGAGUGUCUUCUGAAAAAGUAUCUGUUGAUUGUGCACUCAAUGCUUGGAACACCAGGGUCGUCCUUCUUGAUCACGAAAGGUGACUUGAGUCGACGAUCUUGACCUCCUUGAACUGCAGUGACCAUCUUAGCUGACUCGGUCCACAUUUGCUUGUUCCUGUUCCUCCUGUUGGUCCUCUUCCUUGGUUCAUGUCGGGAUUGCUCUAAAGUUUGUGUAGUCUUGUUCUUGAAGGAAAGUCUCCUUUUCCCCCUUGAUGUAGAAACUGAUCUUGGCAGCAUUAGCGUAGAUGACAGCUCUGGUGUUUAGGAAUGGUCUCCCUAAGAUGAUAGGUGCCCUCUCCUCACUACUAGUCUCUAUCACCACGAAGUUUGUUGGAGUGUACAAGGUACCAACUCGGACACAGAUGUUCUUCCAUAUUUCCUUUGGGAAACUAAGUGUCUGAUCUCCAUUGUGUUUGUGCUCGUAGAUCCCGGUUCUUCACUUGAUGGAAUCUGGGAGUUGUAAAACUCCUUCAGGUUUUGUUCGAAGUGUACCUGCUCAUAGAGACAAGGCAGAGAUCAAGUGCAUGGGCCCUGUUGGUGGAAAACACCAACAGAACCAAAAGUGUAUUUGUUCUUCUCUAACCUUAAGCAUAGUGAGCAAGACAAAGUUGAUGGAUCAUGAGUGUAGCAUUUAAAACAUUUGUUAGAUCAGAUGGCUCAACCUAAUGGAAAGAUAAUCUAUCUAUAUUUAUGUUUUGUUUAUAUCUUCCAAAGAUUGAAUGUGCAAUACUUUAGCUUAUAUGAUUAGGAGUGUGGGGUCACGAAGGUAGUACUAAGAACAAAGAUUAAAGGACUAAACAUGUUGAAUUAAUUGAUUUGGUUAAUUUGGAGUUACAGAUCAUACAUGUUUGUCUCUUUAUUUGUGAAUGCAAGAACCAAGGAGAAGCUUACAAAAGCGAUAGUCAAGUACCUUAAGAUGUUACCUUAAUUGAAGAGUGAUGGUAUAGUAUCACCUUGUGGAACCUUUCCUUUCUUGGCGGUUGUGCAUCGUGGUUGUGGCACCCUCCAUGGAUCAUCUCUUUAUGAUGAGUGAGCUAUGUCUUCCUUGUGCAAGUCAUUAAAUUUCAUGUGUCUCCUUUAUCUCCAAUGUGAGUUUGUAUCUCAGGACUUCCCAAAUUGAUAUUGAAUGUUUUUCUGCAGGGGUUAGUCCGAAAAAAUAUACCAAUGUCUACACAAGCAGUUUUUAGUUCAAUAACCAAACUAGACUCCAUGUCUAAUUAGAUUAAGGAAGGCUAUUUAACCUAAGCACCACGCCUAAUUUAAAUGCCAAUGGAAGUAUGUCCAGUACUUCCAAACCAACACUUACUUAAGAUAAACAUAGGUAGCAUGAUGGCAUUUAUAGAGAUCUACUCAAAUGGAGAUGAAGUAGUGUGACUAGUAUUUAACAAAUCAAGCAUGUCUCAAAGGUAAAGACAACCAACAUAGCAACAUGGCAAAGGAUGUUUUUAUGUAAAGUACUCCCCCAAGCUUGAAUUUUGCAAAAUUCAAGUUUGGAUGAAUUUAAUUCAAUGUUGUAUGAUGGUUGGUUGGACAUACCUUGUGCUUGUCAUUCAUCCGAUCUUCUUGCUCCAAUCCUGGAAAGGUUAGUGGCAAGAAUACCCGAAGGAAUAUCUCAAUAUGCUCAAUACACAAGGCAGUGUUGCAAAUAAUUAAAAGUUCAUGUUACCAUCUGAUAAGUGCUUGUUUAAGGACGCUAAGCUUAUCCUUGGGAAACCAUCAAGUUAUGUUGGUGAAGUGGUUUCCCCUCCAACACCUACCUAUAUCAAGAUCAACUCAACGAGAUCUGCAAUAUUUAUUAUAGACAUAUGCAUCGACAACCGCCCUUUUAAAGUUUUUAUAAAUAGAAAAGAAGAGGGGGUUGGAGAUCCCAAAUGUGGUAAGGAUGGAGAGACCAAUUGAUUGGGGAGAUGUUUUAUAUGAGCAAGGACUUGGUAAGGUAUUUAUGAAAUAACUUCCAUGCUCACUGUUGUUUCUCUCAUUCUCAAACUCCAAGGAUGAUUCUUCAUGAAUGCUUAAAAUUCCUCUAGGAUUGUCUCUCAAGUUUGUUUUAUUUAUCCAUUCAAUGGUGAUAGCACAUGGGUUUUUAAUGCUCUUUAGCCAUUGAUGUUGCUCUUCUCGAUCCUCCUUCUUAUGCAUGGGAUGUCUAGAGAGAUUCAUAGGAUUAUCGGGAGGUUCAAGAGAAAGAGCAUAGUAGAAUUUAUUAAGCUUAAGGAUGGGUUGGAUAGCCGAAUCAUGGGAUUGAAUUGUUUGGAAAUCAGCUAUUGAAACUUCCUCUCCUUGUAUGGGAGAUGAUUCCUUCUCUAUCUCUAAGAUUUUUCUAUGAAGACUAGUACGAUAAGGAUGUCCACAAAUGAAGACAUACCUUCCUUUACUAAUAGAUAAAGAAAGAAAGACUCUACCAAUGGUUAUAUGAUUAAGACCAAUGUAAAAAUAUCGAGAAAAAUCAUGGUCUUGUUGGGCUAGGUCUAAACCAAAAUGUAUAGAAAGAUUAAUAGAUUCCCAAGGUGUAGCUAAAAGUGCAUUAUCUUCUUGAUUAAAAGAUAGGACCUCGGCUAUAGAAAAGGGUUGGUUUUGACCUAUUGCAAUCAACUCCGGACACAGAUCAUAAUUAGGGGCAGGACGUGUUGACUCCCAUGGUCUAUGGCUGGUCUCCAAAGGUGCAAAGAAUUUAAUAAUAGGUAUGGAAUUUAGGUUAUCCUUAAAGAUAAAAAUAAAAAGAUAAAAGAAUAAAAGUAUAAAAGUAUAAUACAAGAUAAUAGCAAGACUCAAAGUUAUCUCAGCAAACUGUCUUUCUCCCCGGCAACGACGCCAGACAUGCUUGUUGAUAUUUGGUAACGCAAUUAGAAAAUGAUCCGCAAGCGCACGGAUAUCGGUGAGCAUUUCACCCGGGAGAUUUUCCAGAGUAUCGUAUUUAUAUUUUUACCACUGGGAGAAAGGGUGCAUCUGACUAACCAAAUCUAUUACUAUUACCCCUUUAGGCUACAAAGAAUGUUUCUCGAUGUGAGUGAUAUAUAGAGAAGACUGCAACCGUAGUCUCGUUCUAACCUUGGUAAGGAUGAUCUACUGUUCUAUUAGGGAGGCUCACGGAAUCUAGAUAACACAAAGGAUGUUCGACCCGCACCUAUAAACCUACCCGUCCUGCUAACGAGAUGUGAUCUGCAAAGGUAACUCGGAAAUGUCACGUUCCUCGCUACUACCACGGUCCAGCUAGUCAGGGGAUAUCUAUGAGUACCCUAGCCUAAACACCACGUUUAAGCUAGCAAGUGAUUACUCUAAUGCUCAACCGGAAGAGGAUUAAAGUAAACUCAUAAACCAAAGAACAAUAAAACAAGAACUUACUAGUAAUUAGUAGUCGAAUUACAGAAGAAUCUUAGAAGCAAGCCUCGGGUUAGGAGACUUGAUCCCGCAGGUACAACUUGGAGUAGACACCGACAGGCCGGCCUUCCUCCGAUCUACACCUCCACUCUAUCUCUCUCAAUCUAGUAGAAACUAGAAGAUCUAUUUCUACUUUACAUUGGUUGCUAAGCCUAAAAAAGAAAUAUUCUUUAGAGAAUAGGUUUUCCUUCGAGGGCACCCCUCAAUCUCUAUGAUAAUUUCUUCAUGUCUUCUCCAGGGACCAGGGGGGUCUCCUUAUAUAGUCCUCCCCUUCUAUGCGUUUUUGGGUCGGUAGGCGAGGUGGUACUAUGUUAUUCUGGAUCCAAUAGGUCGGUGGAGAUCUCCCGAGAGAAAGAGUCCUGAUUGGGCUCGGCAGGUGGGCGGGCGCCCAAGGAAACUGGGCGGGCGCCCAGGUCCUGGCCCCGUUUGUCCUGGCCCCGUUUCGCCUCCGCUUCGGUCUCGUGGCUUCUAGAGUCUUCUAGAUGGUAGAAAAUUGCGCGAUGCAUUGAUAUCUCUAUGUAAUCCUGACAUGUGGGCCUUUCUUCCUUAUUUCCUGAUAACCCCCUGCAGAAAUAGACAAACACCAAAACUCGUGGAAUUCUGUCAGAUAAAACCCUAAGUCUAGGUGUUGGUUGCAUUUGGAUCCUUUUCUUUAUUUAUUUGAUGAUUAUAUUUGAUACUUAAGGACCGUCAACAGGAAGCGGAGGCCGAACGGGGCCAGAGGCAGGGCGCCCGCCCUCCUUCCCUGGGCGCCCGCCCUCCUUCCCUGGACUCUCUUUCGGGACGAUGUUCCACCGACCUAAAGGAUCAAGAAUAACCGUUCAAUCAAUGUCGGUUUGAUCCGACGGCCCAGGUUCACUUGAGGGGACUAUAUAACCAGACCCCCUGGCCCCUGGAAGAGGCACCCCUUGAUCAUUAUUCAUUAUUCAUAGACAGAGCAAAAGCUAGGGUUUAGAGAUGAGAGCUCUCCUCUCUUCUCUAAACUAGAGUAGAUCUAGAUAGUAGCGAGAUGGAGAGCGAGGGAGGAUUGGAGGAGAGGCCGGCCUAUCGGUUCUUCCUCCGGUUGUACUUCGUCAUGAUCAAGCUCUAAUCAAGCUUGCUCAUGGGAUGACUCUGGUAAUCUACUUCUAAUUCAUUAUGCAAUUACUAAUUAUGUAUGUUCUGGUUCACAACUCUUUUAAGUAUUCUAAUCUAUAGGAGGCUAUAGGUGAGAGUUGUAGUAUAGGUGUAAGCGAGGUGCUUAGAUCUAGAUUACUUGUGAAUAUCCCCUGUCUAGCUGGAUCAUGUGGUAGGCCGCGUAGGUGAUAGUUACGUUGGUCCUCUGUAGUCCACCUCUCGUUAGCAGGACGGGUAGGGUUUAUCGGCCUAAGGAUAAGCAUCCUUUGUGGUGUACUCUUAUCACAUGGUUCGUCCCAGACAUAGACAUACCCCUUUGAAGUAGAGAAACCAUAGUUAUUGUCUCUAUUCUGCUACCAUCGCCCAUAUACUAGAAUUGCUCUAUUCUCUAUUCCCAUAUUAUCACUCACUGUUAUCUUACCUUUAAUAUUGUUCUUAUUCGAUUCUACCAUCUUUCCUAUUUACACUUAUUUACUUACCUUGGUUAAGUUAGAGCAUAGAUUAGUUCCCCCGUUUCCCUGUGGAUACGACAAAACCUUUAACCGGGUAAAAGCUAUAACGGUUUUCGUGCGCUUGCGGAUUAUCUGUGUGCGUAUAAAUACCAUAGUACACUCUAGUGCCAUGUUGGGGAUGACAACCAAGUAUUCAAGUGGUGUUAGCAAGUGUAAACAAGCGUUUUUGGUGCCGUUGCCGGGGAGACGGUUGCUGAGUUGACUACAAACUAGCUUAAUCAUAUUCUAAAAAAAAUAAAUAAAAAAAUAUUUUCCUUUUAUCCUUUGCCUCAUCUCUGCUAAUCUUUCUUCUUAUCUAAUCCUUGAUCUCUGGUCUAUCAUGAAUUCAAACAUGUCUAUCUAUGAAUUUCAUAGACCUACGGGCACACAUCUCGAACCACUAAAAUCUUCAAAGCCUAUCAUAGCAUCUAGUUUUGAGAUAGACCCCGAAUACAUAGAAUUUUUUCAAAAACAACCUUUCUCAGGAGAAGGUGAAGAAAAAUCAUACACACACCUAAGAGAGUUUUAACGAGUCUGUGACCUCCUUCGCAUAGAAGGAAUGUCCGAUGAGACCCUUAAAUGGAAGCUCUUUCCGUUCUCUUUAUCGGGAAAAGCUAGACAUUGGUACAAACUCAAAAUAGGGAGUGUUCAUGGAGAUUGGAAGGAGUUAUAUAGUAGUUUUCUUUCUAAAUAUUUUCCAAUCUCCAAAGUGGCGGAACUUCGGCGUGAGAUUAUUUGUUUUAGACAACUGGAAGAAGAAUCUCUUAGGAAAUCAUGGGACCGCUUUAUUAACCUUACUCUCACUGGCCCAAAGCUUUCUAUUCCAGAAGAAGUUCUUCUAAUUCACUUUUUUGAGGGCCUUAGUGGGGAAAAUAAGCAAACCUUGAAUACAGCCUCUAGAGGAUCCUUCUAUCACCUACCUGCUAGUGAAGCUUGGAAUUUGAUUGAUUUAUUAAGUGGAAAGUCUCCUAGUUUUUAUAUCCCUGAGAAAGAGACAGAACCAGUUCCUAGACAAGAAGAAGAAGUUUCGAUAGCCAGAUCACAACCACUUCAAUUCCAAACUUUAGCUAUCGAUCCUAAACCAUCAAUACAACAAAAUUCUCCAAGGGAGGAAGAAAUUCUGACCUUAAAUCUUUCAGAUGCUGAUGGUUUAGACUUCUGGUUCUAUAAGAGACCUUCAAGCAGGGAUAAUUCAAAUCCUCACAAUAAUGGUUCUUUUAGAGAAUGUCCUGGUUCCUGUUAUGAAGAAGUCGAGGAUGACAUAUCAAGUGAAGGAGAGCUAAGCCAUAUUGAAAAUUCUAACACCUCCCCUUUCCUGAUUACAAGUUCUAAAUGGCUAGAAUGUGUAGAAUGGAUGGAUAAGGAAGAAGCCUUAAUGAAUUCUGACGUUGGUUCAAUUUCAAAUUGUGAGUUCUUGACUCCCUUUGAAGAUGAGAUUCAUCCAACUACAGAAGAGGACAUAAGUGAGACCAAUCCAAGAGAAACUCUGAACAUUUAGAUUGGAGACGAAGAUAACAUUAAUGAGCAUGGAAUUUAUUUCAUAGCCACUUUGUUUACUCCAUGCUCAUAUGCAAUAUCUUCCCAAUCUAUUGGUCUCUCCAACAUAACCACAUUUGUGAUCUCCAACCCCCUCUUCCUUUCUAUUUAUAAAAACUUUAAAAGGGCGGUUGUCGAUGCAUAUGUCUAUAAUAAAUAUUGCAGAUCUCGUUGAGUUGAUCUUGAUUUAGGUCAGCGUUGGAAGGGAAACCACUUCGCCGACAUAAAUUGAUGGUUUCCCAAGGACAAUCUUAGUGUCCUAAAAUAAGCACUGAUCAGACGUAACAUGAGCUUUUAAUUCUUUGCAACAUUACCUUGUGUAUUGAGCAUAUAAGGAUAAAUGUAAAAAUAUUCCUUCGGGUAUUCUUGUCACUAACCUUUCCAGGAUUGGAACAAGAAGAUCAGAUGAAUGACAAGCAAGUACAAGGUAUGUCCAACAAAUCAUCAUGCAACACUGAAUUAAAUUCAUCCAAACUUGAAUUCUGCAAAAUUCAAGAUUGGGGGAGUACUUUACAAACAUCCUUUGCCAUGUUGCUAUGUUGGUUGUCCCUACCUUUAAGACAUGCUCAAUUUUUUAAAUACUAAUCACACUACUUCAUCUCCACUUGAGUAGAUCUCUAUAAAUGCUGUCAUGUUACCUUUGUCUAUUUACUAGUAAGUGUUAGUUUGGAAGUACUGCACAUACUUCUAUUGGCAUUUAAAUUAAGCUUAGGUUAAACAGCCUUCCUUAAUCUGAUUAGACAUGGUGUCUAGUUCGGUUAUUGAACUAAAAACUGCUUGUGUAGACAUUGGUAUAUUUUUGUCGGACUAACCCCUACAGAAAAACUUUCAAUAUCGAUUUGGGAAGUCCUGAGAUAAACUCACAUCAGAGACGAAGAGAGUGACACAUGAAGUUUAACAAAAUGCACAAGAAGGACAUAGCUCAUCAUAGAGAGAUGAUCCAUGGAGGGUGCCACAAACACGAUGCACAACCGCUAAGAAAGGAAAGCUUCCACAAGGUGAUACUGUACCAUCACUCUUCAAGCAAGGUAACAUGUUAAGGUACUUGACUAUCACUUUUAUAAGCUUCUCCUUGGUUCUGGCGUUCAUAUAAAUAAAAGAGACAAACAUGUAUGAUUUACAACUCUAGAUUAACCAACCCAACUGAUUCAACAUGUUUAGUCCUUUAAUCCUUGUUCUUAGUACUACCUCCAUGAUCCCACACUCCUAAUCAUAUGAGCUAAAAUAUUACACAUUCAAUCAUUGAGAGAUAUAAAGAAAAAGACAUAUACAUAGAUAGAUUAUCUUUCCAUAAGGUUGAGCGAUCUGAUCUGACAAAUGUCAUAAGUGCUACACUCAUGAACUUUUCAUCCAUCAACUUUGUCUUGCUCACUAUGCUUAGGGUUAGAGAAGAAUAAAUACACUUUAGGUUCUGUUGGUGUUUUCCACCAACAAGACCCAUGCACUUGAUCUCUGCCUUGUCUCUAUGAGCAGGUACACUUCGAGCAAAACACGGAGGAGUUUUAUAACUCUCAGACUCUACCAAGUGAAGGACCUGGAUCUACGAGCACAAACACACUGAGCAGGAUACUGCCAAUGCCGCACUUCGAACUGCUGGGCAAACGAAGAACGUGGGUGACACCGUAUCAAGAGGUGCAGACGUCAAGGUCCGCACCUGAAUCAAAUGACGCACCUGAAGAAUGAACACGGUGAGAAGUCUUGUCAAGAAGACUUAAAACAUUGAACCCUCGCCGAAAGGUAAGAUCGGUAGUUAUCCAUAUUUAUCCCUUCUGAAUUCUCUUUUCCCUUUAAUUAUUUACUUUCCUUAAAUAGAUUAUUAGUUAAUCAUGCUAUCUUGAAAAGAAAAUAAAAAUGUUAAAAAAUACUAAGCCCCAUGUGAGUAUACGAGUGGCAUAAAACCCAUAAGAACCUUCACUGUGGUGGCAUAAAAAUAAAAUAAAUAUUUCUUUUCUGCUUUAUAAAAUAAAAAUAUAAAAACAGAGAGUAAUAUUUAUUGAGGAAGCUCAACAUGAUGAAGGCUAGAUAUUUAUGCUAACACUUAAUUAGUUCCACAAGCUUUGUUGUCUAUUUGAGCUCCACAGAAUUUAAGAAUCAAGAAGACUAGCAGAUGGAAGACAUUCUAAUCGCUGUCAGAAUGUUGCUGACUUUCAAAUACACCUCUGUCACCAGCUAGCUACAUCAAGAGAAAUUACGUCAAAAUUCAGCUUGGGGGAGAGCACCGUCAUUUAUCUCGCUAAGUAUUUCUACCUAUCUUUAUACUUAUAUUAUAUUAGAAUAUUAAAAUACAUAAACUAUGAAAAACCAAAUAACGAUUUUGUGCUUAUAUAUAUAUCUUUUGCUUAGUGUGUUUAAUAAAUAAAUAAAGUGGCUAUGCUAAUCUGAAUCUUAAUAAUAAAACUCUAGCAUGGAUAUGAUGAAUAGUUGCUCUGCCAUGACUAGUUCUCAAAAAUUGAAUUCUCUCUCAAGUUUAGGCAUGACUGUUAUGAAUUAAGAUUUGCUCUAAACCUGAACUUGUGGGAAGAGUACUUGAUCUAAAGUCUAAGUCGUUAACGGAUAUGAUAUGGGAAGGUUGAGUUGUUAUUUAUCUGUUCCUAGAGAUGCUAGAAAUCUGGAGAAUUUUAUCUUUGAAAAUCUUUAAAAUGUUGCAUGAUGAGUUCCCAUAUGAUGGGAGCUUAAAAUCCUACCACAGCCAUAUAUAUACAUGCUUAUUAGACUAUGAACCAUACAUUUACUUUUUACUGCUUAUGAGCAUUGAGUGUGGUCAAGCUGUGUAGACCCUUAGGAGCUUAUCAUAUGGUUAAAUCAAGAUCCACUUGCACGUUCACUCAUACAUGCUGCUACUACUCUGGAAGUACGCAUCCACAUACAUCCACUCAUUUCCAUCUCCAGAUUCACCCAAAAAUAUUCUACUCCUAAUCCAGGAGAGAAUAGCCAAAAAUAUUUCUGUUUUCCCUUGUGAAAUAAAUGCUCAAGUUAUCUUGCUACUACCACUUGCUAUAUUAUCUCAAGAGAUGAGUGCUCUGAAAAGAAAAAAAGAGAGAAAAGAGAAGAAAAAAUAAUAAAAAAAUAAUAUAAAAACGAGGAAAUAACAAAGGGCAAGUGCCCGGAACCUCGAAAGAAAGAAAAAGUGAGACGAGAGGUAAAAAUGGACAAGUGUCCGACAAUAAAAUUAGGGGUACAAGAUACCCACUUGAGAGGAAAGAAAAAGAAAAGCAUCUCAUUCUCCUCAUAAAGUUUCAAAAAGCAAGGAACGUAUGUAUCCCCUCAAAAGAGCAAAAGUAGAAUUAGACUUUCACCAUAGUUAUCACCGUCAUCACCAUACACCAUUCAUUCGCCACACAUGCACAUCUUGAUUUGGCUUAUUGAUUUGUUUCUUUGGAUCCAUGGUUUGACUAUACAAUAAAUGUCUUGUAAGUAUGUAUACUUUAUCUCCCACCUAUGAGCUCCAGAUAUUAAAGCCUUAUUAGAGUAGGGUGAGAGGGAAGGCAAUGUCACUAUGCCUUAUACCACAAAUACCACAUAUCUUGAGAGAAGGCAUAUACCAUCACUGCCUUGGUAAGGAUCCAGAAAUACCACAAAAGAGCGAUUUAGAGAGUCAUACAAGGAAUCUCUGAGUUUUAUUUGAAAAUCUGCAAAAACUCCAGAGCUAUAGCUGAUCAAGAAUAAGAGACAUGGCACUUGGCUAGACUGUUCUAUCAUUUAACUACUCAAGACAGAAGUGACGGUUACAAGUCUCAUGGUGAAAGGUAAAGUAAGUAAGUUUUAGUUCUUGACAGUUUACUCUAACUCAGAGAUGAGAUCUUAUUUAAAAGCAUGUGUACCGUCAAAUUUUUAAGAUAUUGCAACAAGUUCUGAUCCAUUGCUGAGUCUAUCCUUGCUCAGGGACGAGCAAGAGGUAAGCUUGUUGACGGUCCUUAAGUACCAAAUAUAAUUAUCAAAUAAACAAAGAAAAGGAUCCAAAUGAAUUCAACAUCUAGACUUAGGGUUUUAUCUGACAGAAUUCCACAAGUUUUGGUGUUUGUCUAUUUCUGCAGGGGGUUAUCAGGAAAUACGGAAGAAAGGCCCACACGUCGGGAUUACAUAGAGAUAUCAAUGUGCCGCGCAAUUAUCUUACAUCUACAAGACUCCAGAAGCCACGGGAAGAAAGCGGAGGCCGAACGGGGCCAGAGGCAGUGCGCCCGCCCUCCUUCCCUGGGCGCCUGCCCUCCUGCCGAGCCCAAUCAGGACUCUCGUUCGGGACGAUGUUCCACCGACCUAAAGGAUCAAGAAUAACCGUUCAAUCAAUGUUUGUUUGAUCCGACGGCCCAGGUUCACUUGAGGGGACUAUAUAACCAGACCCCCUGGCCCCUGGAAGAGGCACCCCUUGAUCAUUAUUCAUUAUUCAUCGAUAGAGCAAAAGCUAGGGUUUAGAGAUGAGAGCUCUCCUCUCUUCUCUAAACUAGAGUAGAUCUAGAUAGUAGCAAGAUGGAGAGCGAGGGGGGAUUAGAGGAGAGGCCGGCCUGUCGGUUCUUUGUCCGGUUGUACUCCGUCAUGAUCAAGCUCUAAUCAAGCUUGCUCAUGGGAUGACUCUGGUAAUCUACUUCUAAUUAAUUAUGCAAUUACUAAUUAUGUAUGUUCUGGUUCACAACUCUUUUAAGUAUUCUAAUCUAUAGGACGCUAUAGGUGAGAGUUGUAGUAUAGGUGUAAGCGAGGUGCUUAGAUCUAGAUUACUUGUGGAUAUCCCUUGUCUAGUCGGAUCGUGUGGUAGGCCGCGUAGGUGACAGUUACGUUGGUCCUCUGUAGUCCACCUCUCGUUAGCAGGACGGGUAGGGUUUAUCGGCCUAAGGAUAAGCAUCCUUUGUGGUGUACUCUUAUCACAUGGUUCGUCCCAGACAUAGACAUACCCCUUUGAAGUAGAGAAACCAUAGUUAUUCUCUCUAUUCUGCUACCAUCGCCCAUAUACUAGAAUUGCUCUAUCCUCUAUUCCCAUAUUAUCACUCACUGUUAUCUUACCUUUAAUAUUGUUCUUAUUCGAUUCUACCAUCUUUCCUAUUUACACUUAUUUACUUAUCUUGGUUAAGUUAGAGCGUAGAUUAGUUCUCCCGUUUCUCUGUGGAUACGAUAAACCUUUAACCGGGUAAAAGCUAUAACAGUAUCCGUGCGCUUGCGGAUUAUUUGGGUGCGUAUAAAUACCAUAGUACACUCUAGUGCCAUGCUGGGGAUGACAACCUAGUAUUCAAGUGGUGUUAGCAAGUGUCAACAAUUAGCAAUCAUCAAUAUUGAUUACAGAAUAGAAUAUGAGAUUGAGUAUCUAUCAUUGCAUGUAUAAUUGAGAACAUAUAUCUAACUCAUGCAUACAGGGAUAAGUGUCACAUAAAAGAUAUAUGAAAUAAUAAAUAGUGACAAAGAUAAUUGAUCUGAUCAGCCACAUAUAAAUAUGAUAAGCACCUCAAUUAGAUACUCUAGAAAGUCAUUAGCAUGGUAUUAGAACGAACUACAAGAAUAUUCCCUAAGUUAUUCUCAACUAUAUAGUCUAGCAUUACCAUAGUUAGUGCAAGCAUAGUUAGCAAUCAUUGCGAGACAAGACUACGCCCAUGCAUAGUGAUAUUAGCAAGGUAAAUGAGAAACAUAGCAAUCACUCCCCUGUAAUAAUAUUGCUCUGCCAGCCCAACACACGAGAGGGGGACUAUAUAAGAAUCAAUGAAGCUGUCACUAUCACGAACUACCCCACGAUCUGGCAUAUUGGGUACAAUCGUAGAUAAAUACGGUAUAAGCACCACGCCUACACAAUAUCUAUCAUUUACCCAUGGAUCCAAUGGAUAAACGCUAUACGAUCCUAAGCAUGUAUAUAGAUCCAAUCUAACUAAGCCAAGUACAUAACUAUGAUAAACUAAGAACAAUAUAAUCUUGAAUAUAAACAAGUAGACCAAAGUCAUAAGCAAUAUAUUGAAGUAGAACAAAGUCAUAUUCAUAAUAUUGAAGAACAAAGAUGAUUAGAAAGCAAUUAGAAGCACAAUUAGAGAAUUACCAAGAAUCCUCUUGAUAGAUCCGGAAACCAAUCGAAGAUUGACUCCUAGUUCUAAUCCUAUGUAGCUAUGCUAAUCUAGAUAUCUAAUUGAUGUGGUGGCUCUAAUCUUGAUCAGAGGCUUCUUCUCCCUUGAGAAUAAUGAAUUAGGGUUGAGAGGCUCUCUCCUCCAGGGGCCAGGGGGUCUGGUUUUAUAGUCCCUUCAAGUGAAUAUGGGCCGUUGGAUCAAACCGACUUAGAUUGAACGGUUAUCCUUGAUCCUUUAGGUCGGUGGAGAUCUCCCACGAAGCAGAGUCCUGAUUGGACUCCAAAGGUGGGCGGGCCCUAGGGGAACAGGGCGGGCGCCCUGCCUCUGGCCCCGUUUCGCCUCCGCUUCGGUCUCGUGGCUUCUGGAGUCUUCUAGAUGUAAGAUAAUUGCGCGGCUUGUUAAUAUCUCUAUGUAAUCCCGACAUGUGGGCCUUUCUUCCGUAUUUCCUGAUUACCCCCUACAGAAAUAGACAAACACCAAAACUCGUGGAAUUCUGUCAGAUAAAACCCUAAGUCUAGAUGUUGAUUUCAUUUGGAUCCUUUUCUUUAUUUAUUUGAUAAUUAAAUUUUAUACUUAAGGACCGUCAACACUGGGCUAUCCUUAUCCGUUCAAGUCCACUGGUUAUAGUCUCCCUUGGUUUCACCACAUUGGCAUAACAAAGUCUGAUCGGCAGUUGGCCAAAAGCCAGUUGACGAGCUAGUGCCGAUGGGUUAUAGAAUUCAUAAGUGGCGUUGGUGUUCUUCCCACUGCCCAAAAUAUUCACUGGGAUGGCCCUUAGAGUAAUGAUUGCCAUCAUCAAGUCAUUAUCUUUGUUGAGAGCAUCAUCAAAAUGGUGGAAGGUAAGCGGGAACCUAGUUUCUGGAUCUUCAUAAGGCAUCCAUGCCCACUGAUCUUUGGGAAGACCAUCAUAGAGAGUCUGAAAGAAUCGGCUGACCUGGUCUUCAUUGCCACCAGUGCCGGGUAGAACUAUAGCAGCCUCACCAUAGUUCAGGGGUGGGCGAGUUGCCGAUUCUUCGUCAGCCAGUUCAUGGCCUUCGGCGAUAUCUCUGGGGAAUCAUUGUGCAAAGAGGUCGAACUGGAGGCGUUUGUGCAUGUGAACAUUAAGCCACAUGUUGAUAAACCACCAAGGGCCUGCUAGGUUGCCGAUGGGUUCACCUAACAGGAGCUUCUCAGCCACUUGAUGGAGGAGGUGAUAAGCAGAACCUAGCAAGUGUCGACCAAGAGGGAAUCGGCCACCAUCGGCUAAUUUCUGUACUACCGAUAGAUAAAUAGAAGUUGGUCCUACCGAUCGGCCACAGAAGACAAAUUUAUCUAGCCACAUGUUCAGAAAGAUGGCGUGUUCUCUUUGCCCAACUGGGCCCAUUUUCUGGUACUUCUAGAUAUACCCUGACCAGCCGCCAAUGUUGUGGGUUUCUACUUUACGUUCAGCCUUGCUAUCGAACAGGUGACUAUCAUCGGCAGUUGCUAUUUCCAAACUGGUGAGCAUGAGUACAUCGGCAAGGGUAGGAGAAGCAGGGCCAUGGCCAAACAAGAAAGCAUUGAGGGUGUCUGACCAGAAAUACGAGGCCACUAUUAGUAGUGAUUCAUUUCUUUCCAUAUCGGCAAUGGAUAUCCUGAUGCACUCGUCUAGUUUACGCUCACUCCAUUGGACUUCAUUUGAGUUGCUAACUCUCAAGAACCAAUCCUUCCAUCCCUUAGUAGAACUGGGCCAGGAUCGGAAGGUAUCUUUCCACAGAUCUAAAGAGAAGUUCUCAGCUCUAAAGGGGAUCCUAUUUGUUUCCGCAUUGAUCAGAUCGGUAGGAUCUGGAUUACCCAACGAACGGAGGCAUGGAAAGUGUGGUUGCUCGGUAGGAAUAACAAUUUUCUCGGCCAAUUCCUAAAGGUUUGAAGGUUGGAAGAACAGAAAAAGGAAGAAGAAAGAAAAUACUAAGUAAAUAACUGUGUAAAAGGUGGAAAGUACGGCAAAGAAAAGAAAGAUGGUACUAGGUUGACCUCAUGGACGAUGUAGUUGACGGCCAUUUCUUCCCAAGGGAGAAAAGGAUCGAAGACUUGAAGAACCAAUGGGGAAGAUCCUCGCUGGAAGUUCUUGGGCUCUUCAACGAUGCCGCCGCUAGAAGGAUGGGUUUGGAGGAUGCAGAAUGACAAGAUGGAGGAAAAGUACCAAGGAAGGAAGUAUUUAUAGGGUAAACUGAGCAGGGGCAUUUCUGACUUAUCUCUUUGUCGUAUCCGUAAAAAUCGAGGGUGUUCAGGUGGAUAUGGUAACUGUUCCUACGGUAAUCAAGGGAUUGUGCAGGUGAUUUGACAGCAAGCGGUCAUGGUUUUGGGAGAUAUUUUACUGUGUAAGAUCUCCUGGUCUAACGGAAAAGUUGCCGAUGAGUGAAUAUUUAGGGAGAUUCGGUUUGAGAAGUUGAGGGAUUCGAGGUAUAUGCUAGAAAUCCGGACUGAGGUUGUUUGGAUUUGGUAAUAAAUUACUGUCAGAGAGAAAUUACUGUGGAAAGGGCAUCAUUAUUAGAGAGAAUUUCGGAGUAUUAAUGAUUUUAUACUCCAAAAUUGGGGGGCAUGUGUUGACACUGUUUUUGGACACGUAUCUCUAGACGCGUAUCUAUGAUUUAAUGAAAUAUACAUCGGCAUGCGAAAAGGUUAUGAUUUGUUAGUAGAGGAGCUGCCGAUGAAGUUAUGAUGCCGAUGGCAGAAUAGCAGAAUAUGACUAAGUCCAGGAAUGGUGAUUGAUCUGUGCCGAUGGCUGGCAUUAAUGGUUGCCGAUGCCGAUGGAAGGUGAUUUGCCGAUGAUAGCAGAAGAAGGCACAGAUGAUGACGGUGUGCUGAUCGCCUAUGGUGGAUAGAUUAAUGUUUUCCAUAGUUGUUAGAGUUUGUUUUACGUACGGAUUCCAUUCGAUUUGGAAUUAGAGUCCUAGUCGUGUCUGGUUGUAACCUUUUUGGGUAGGGUAUAAAUGUAGACCCCGUAGCAAUGUAAGACUAUACACAAUAAAUCAAAAACAAGUUUUUACUUCUAUUCCAACAUCUACUUUUCGACGACUUCGUCAAUUUGCAUAUUUUCCUUUUACUUACGAGUUCUUAGGAAUUCAUCGAGUCAAACUCGGCGAGUUCUCAUGUUCCGCGUGAAUACCUCUUGGCCGUGGCAUCCGGGCAUAUCGCUGUUGUCGGAACCAAAGUAUUUGAGAUAUCACCUUUGUCGAUUGUAAGGUCAAAUCAGCUGACACACCUUAACAUCAAAUUGGGUAUUAGCCCUUUGUGUUUGCAGAUCUACUUUUGCAUCAAUAGUAAGAUCUAAACUUGUCUAUAGUAAAGACAAUAGCCAAGACUUCUUUUUUAGUGGUAGCAUAGUUGAGCUAAGGUCCAGACAAGGUUUUGCUAGCAUAAGAUAUGGCAUAGUGCUUUUUAUCUUUGGUUUGGCCUAAGACGGCUCCAACCGCAAAAUCACUAGCAUCACACAUGAUCUCAAAAGGAAGCUUCCAAUCAGGUGGUUGGAUAAUUGGAGCUGAGAUGAGUGCUUUUUUAAGAAUUUGGAAAGCUGUAUGGCACUCGUCAUUAAAGAUGAAAGGUGAGUCUUUAUCAAGGAGACUAGUCAGGGGUCUAGCUAUUUGAGAAAAAUCUUUGAUGAAGCGCCUAUAGAACCCUGCAUGUCUAAGAAAACUGCGGAUGCCUUUCACAUUUGUGGGAGGUGGAAGUAGUUCAAUAACUUCAAUCUUGGCUCUAUCCACCUCUAUCCCACGUUUGGACACCUCGUGCCCUAGCACUAUUCCUUCUCAGACCAUAAAGUUGCAUUCCCCAACUUUAGGAUUAAGUGCUUUUCUUCACACCAUUGUAAGACUUUGUCCAAAUUCUCUAAACAAUCAUUGAAGGUUUUGCCAUAGACGGUAAAAUCAUCCAUGAAUACCUCCAUGAUUUUCUCAAUCAUAUCGGAGAAAAUAGACAUCAUGCACCGUUGAAAAGAAGCUAGAGCCUUACAUAGCCCGAACGACAUUUGUCAGUAUGCGUAAGUUCCAUAGGGGUAUGUGAAAGUAGUCUUACUUUGGUCAUCAGGGUGGAUCGGGAUUUGAUGAUAUCCGGAAUACCCAUCAAGGAAACAAAUGAACGAGUGAUUUGCGAGCUGUUCCAACAUUUCAUCAUUGAAGGGUAAUGGGAAGUGAUCUUUCAUUGUGGCCUUGUUGAGUUUUUAGUAGUCAAUGCACAUACACCACUCGGUGACAGUUCAUUGAGGGAUGAGUUCGUUUAAGGACCUCUUUUUUAACAACUUCUUUGGUACAACUUGUACCGGGCUAACCCACUCACUGUGAGGAAUAGGAUAAAUAAUCCCAGCGUGUAAAAGCUUAAGGACCUCUUUUUUAACAACUUCUCGCAUGGCAUGGUUAAGCCUUCGCUGUGGCUCCCUUGAAGGUGUGCAAUCAGCAUCAAUAGGGAUGCGAUAAGUGUAGAGAACAGGGCUAAUGCCUAUGAGGUCUUUGAGUGAGUAGCCGAUAGCUAGUUUGUGUCUUUCUGAGAAAGUGACAAGUUUAUGGGUUUCUUCUUGGGAAAGCUUGAUACUGAUGAUCACUCGGGUUUCUUGAUUAUUGUUGAGAAAGACAUACUUUAGGCCAGGAGGGAGAGGUUUUAGCUCAAUUGAAGGAACAUGUGGUUGCUCACUUUUGUCUAGUUCAAUGGGCUCUACCAACUCUUCCUCUUCUUGAAUAAAGUGUUCAUCAUCAAGGAUUGGUUGGGCCAUGUUUUCUAGAGAUUCCAUUAAAACCUCUUCAAUAGAUACUUGCUCGUAUUUGGGUUCAACUAUUGUGUUGAUAGAACGGGCAAGAGGAAUAUUUAGAGUGGAAUUCCCAACCUUAAAGUCCAAAUGACCUUGUAAAGGUUUUUCCUGUAAGAGUCUCAUGAUUGGUCUGCCAAUCAAGAGAGUAAUCUCCAAGGUGUGGUAUAUGUGAAAAUCUAGGCAUAUCUUGGAGUUGUUAAUUUUGAUAGGAAUAACCCUUAAUACCCCAUUGCUCUCAAGAAUAGUUCCCAAAGAGGUUUGUAAAUGCCUUUCUGAUGGGGUUAAAGAUGUGUUGGGAUAAAGGCUAUUAGCUAAUGUCUUUGAAAUAAGGUUUAUCCCAACACUUGGACUAUAGUGUAUUUUCAUAGUAGACCUUCAAUUUUGGCACUAGAGAAUGGUUGUGGGAUCGGUGAUUCGAGCUACCUCAGGAGAUAACUUAGCUUCCGUAAGCCAUUCAUAACUCAUGAUUGAUGAGAGGCUUUUAAUUUGUUCUGUGAUAACAGAGCCUUCAUGUGGAUCAGGGGGGGUAGUGUGUGCCUGAGGUCUUGGUUGGAUAGGCAAAAUUGAGGUAUUUCCAUAAUCUUCAAAUAUAUUUUUCCUCGAAUUCAAAGGUAAACUCUAAAGGAGAAUCAUCAACCUCUAGUUUUGUUUGUGUUCCCUUUUUAGGGGGGUUUUCAACAACCAAUUCAUGAGAUGAAUUAGGGGGAGUUUCUAAUUCGGUUGCUGAAAGGUCCAAAUGCCUAAAUGGCGGGGGGGGGGGGGGGUGAAUAGCAUAUUUAAAAUUCUCUACAAACUCAACUAGACAAGUUGAUUAGUAAAACAAAUGGAAAAAGCUAUUCUUGCACUAGCUCAACUAAUCUAUGCAAGGCACCUAAACUAGUCUAGCAAGAAGGCUAAACACUAAUUCACAACAGCAAAGCACAACUAAAGUUAACUAUACUCCUAUUGUAAGAAGACUAAGCUACACAAGCUAUACAACAAGUAAGAUGUGCAAGAAACUAAUGGAGUGGAGUGUGAUUGUUAUACCAACGUUGUAGAGAAGAGAUAUAUCCAAUCAAUUACUCACAAUCAUAAUCAAAGGAGAAUCCUCGGCAAGACAUGACACAAGUUUUUUUACCGAGGUUCACUUGCUUCCCGGCAAGCUAGUCGUCGUUGUGGCGAUACACCCACUUGAUGGAUUACGAGCUAAUUGACAAUCCAAAGCCAAACCCUCAGCAGGUGCCGCAUAUCCACUCACAAGAUGGGGAUCCUCCAAGCCACAAGCAAUCUACUAGAGUAGCCAAUUGCGAUCUCCCACGGGGAAGGCUCAAGAACCCCUCACAAAUCACUUGGUGAGGCUCGAUACAAUCUCCAAUCACGAGCUCAACACCAUCGCUGCUCCAAGCCAUCUAGGGCAUUGGGAAACACCCAAGGGUAACAAGAAAUCCGUAGCAAACUCAAGGAUCAAGUGCCACUAGAUGCAACUCUCAAUGCAAUGCACUUGAAUCUCACUCAAUCUCACUAAGAUUAGCAAUCAAGCAAGGAGAUGAGUGGAAGGAGUGUUCUCUAGCUCAAUGUAUGCCUCAAGUAAUCAAAUGUGCAAGAGUAAGCCUCCCAAAUCUGGCCACCUUCUAUUUAUAAGCCCCCUCAACAAAAGAGCUGUUGGCCACUUUCACUGGGCUGAAACCGGGGGCACUAGACGCUCAGCACGGUACCACCGGACGCGCCAACCCUAUGUCCAGUGCCUAGAUGAUAGCCACGUGUCGACUUUUGAACCUUCGCACGAUAAUCUCUAACGGCUACAUCUGGUACUCACCUGACCCGUGUGCUGUCACACCCUAGUUUUUAAAAGAAAACCAGAGUCAUCAUAUGGGUGCCUAGGAAGUCCACACAUACAACAAAAGAAUAGAGAUAUCAGAAACAAUGUUACAUAUAGCGGAAAACAUAUUUAUAAUAACACUUACAACUAUCAGAGUAUGCGGAAAUAGUUGGUAAACUUCUUGGGCUCCAUUCUUCUCAGGGACGGUUGACUGGGGGCUCCGUAUGCCAAGCACUUCUGAUAAGCUUCUAAAAAACUUCAUGACAUCUUUAUCCUUCUUCUGAGCAACACUUUACUACACACUGGGGUGUGGGGGAAAUAGCAAGGGUGAUUUCAUGUUGAACUCAACAAGUACAGGCGGAAAGUAUAAUGACAUGCAAUGCUUAAUCAAAGAAAAAGCUAACACUGUUUAACUGCAGGUGAGCUUUUUAGUUGGUAAACUUUUAUUACAAUUCUAUUAUUAAAACAACCUAUUACUAAACAUGAGUAAAGCAUCCCAACCAUUAAUUAGAUUAAAGUAAAUUAACAAUAUUAUUAAUCAUUAGUAUAAUUAAUAUUAUUAUUAAGAUUACCGAGGUAGCAACCUUGGAUAGUAACUCAGGGUAGCAACCCCAUUAAGGUCAUGGGAUAUCAAUACCAAUUAAGAACACAGGAUAGCAAUCCUGCUAACAUGGAAUAGCCAUUCCACCAAAGAACGAGGUAUCAACCUCAACCUAGUUCCGCCUCCAAGUUCCAUGUGACUCCAAUUUGCUCAUCAUAUGAGAGUUUGGGCCGCUCGUGACCUUGAGCAUGGCUGAUUUAUUAGUUUUACACUCUGCAGAGGUGUGCACUUUCACUCCAAGUCGUGAUUCCCAUUCGUCUGGGGUUGUGACUCCCCAAAACACUACUAAGGUGAGCAGGCAGGGUUUCACUAUGAGACCUUUCACGGGGUCCAACUGAUAGGAUGCCACUCAUAAGUUUUGGCCGGGGUGUGCGGUAGCCGUGCCCAUAGCAAUAGGACCCCGAACUGACCGACCUCUUAAUAUGAAUACCCAAGCUACUUCCUUACACCUUCCCAGAAAGUAACACCCUACCAGCAGAGGUCAUGAUAAUUAGUCAAGCCAGAGCCAUAUAGCUUGGAGCUACACUGUAUGUCCGAGGGGGCCGCUCAAUGACUAAGACCUUACGGAGAGGAGAGACGGGUACGCCCGGCAACCGGGCCAACCAACGGUACCCGGUGCCCCUUUCCUCAACAAACCGUGAUGCUCGCAAGCACCACAACAUCUCCAUCACCGAAGUGACCAUUGUUCAUCAUUUAAACAUUAAUCAUCAUUGAAGAAUUCAUUAGGCAAGAUUAUUUACUUUCAUUUAUUAUACGGAAUAGAUGAGCAGAGUAGCUAAGAAUAUAUACUAUUCACUAUACUACCCAUGUAUAAAAUCUAGGAGUACAAGGAAUAUAGUAGAAGACUAGUCAGGUCCUUAGGGUUUGCAGUAUUAAGACACAUGCAAUAAAAGUAAAUGUAUUUAAAGUUCAUAGGUACAAUAUGAUCAAAGGGUGUCUGCACUUGCCUUUAUUCCCAGUGUACAACUGCUCUCCAACUUCUGCUUCGACUGUCGGUCCUCAGCUCCUGGUCUUCAGCGCUAACGAACAUGCUUCUUCUACUCAUAGCAAACAAGCAACACAAACAGACAAACAAACAAUCACGACUAAGAACGAAUGGCAAUCAAAAGAAAAGCUUAGAAAGAGUGCACUAAAUGACCCGACUUGUUGCUACGAUCGUGACAACGCAAGAACGGGUGAGAAGGAGCUAUCGUUAAAUGAACACGAUUAUCAAGGUUGGCAACAUAACGGAGAAGAUAGACUACACAUUGGUUGUAUUUUAUUUAAUAAAAAGUAGGUGAUAGACUUUUUUCAAAGAAACAUCUCAAAGUUGUAAUUGACCAAAUUGUAAAGAAUUAUAAAGGCUGGAGUUAAAGUUUAGUCAUAAUCUAAUUACAAACAAUUCUACAUCAUAUAAGUCACUUUACUACUUAUAAUUAGAAAACGAGGAAUUUGUGACCUAAGUUAUACCAGGUAUUUAUGUAAUGAGGCUAAACUUUAGUCAUAUCUUAUUUAUAAACAUUUAAUAUUAUUUAUAUCACUUUAUCAUUUAUAGUUAGAAAACAAGGAAUUUGUGACAUAAGUUAAAUAGAGCAUUUAUGAAAAGAGGUUAGACUAAGUAAGUCAUACUUGAAAAGACAAUUCACAUUGACAUUAAUCAUAAUAAUAUUUGUUUAAGAAAAACUAAAGUUAUAAACCUAAAUUACUUAUAUAGAUUAGAAAGGAAUUUAAUUAGAUAUUAGUCAUUUUAUAUUUAUGGUGAAAAUGUAAAGUGUCAAACAUGGCAGAUGUCAUGGAUAACGCGUAGUUUACGUCGAUGGUAACCUAACACGACAAGAACGGGCUCAAUCUGAGUUAAAACGCGGAUUCUAUGGCCAAAACUAGGUCAGUGGCAAAACUGGGAAUAAACAGAACUAUUUUUCAUAUUUUAAAUAAUUAAAAACUGCAUUUUAAAAGCUUAAAGGACUAAAUAAAUAAAUACUAAUGGUGCCAAGGUCCUAACUGCUAAAAAUAGGGCCUAAAUCUAGUUAUUUCUGAUGUACUCAGGACUGCGGGUUAAUUUAAAAAACCACAGGGGCUUUUUUGCAUGAUGGCCAGGGGCGGCGUGCGUGGGGGUGGUGCUCGGUGUGGUCGGCCACGUGGUGGCUCGGGACUAGCCGGUCUACGGUGGACCGGAUGCAGGCGUGCGGGUGCACCGGUCCAUGGUGGACCGGGCCGUUGCGCGGCGGCGCUAGGGGCCUGGCCAGCCGCGGCAGCGCGCUGCGCGUGGGCGGCGACGCCAUGGCCGGUGCCGUCGAGGUGGUAGCGGCGGUGCUACGGGGCACUACGGGCCGCGAUGUGUGCACGGGCGCGUAGCGUGUGAUGCGGCAUGCUCAAUGCGCGCGAUGGUAGGGGCUAGAUGCGGCCGAGCGGCGCGGGCCACGUGGCGAUGCGUGACGAUGGCGGUGGCUCUUCUCUGGCGAGCCCUUGUGCACAGAAGGGAGGGAGAGAGAUCAAUCCGAGAGCACCUAUGCGUUCGUUACACCUUCACAAGUUCACAGAGCGUCUCACCUUGGCGGAUGAGGCAGCGGUGGGGCGAGCUCAUCGACGGCCGGCUUCGGGGAUGGAGGGGCGGGGCAUCAAGCUCGGUCUAGGGCUUCUUGGCGGUGUUUGGAGGCGACUAGGGUUCCUAGAGAGGUGUGCGGCGGCUGCAGGGUGCCCUUAUAUAGGUGGAGGCGAACCUCGGUUCACGUGUGCGCGAAAAAUAGGGCGGCGACAUUAUCCGCAUCCGAGUCGGGCGGGAGGUUAGGGGUGACCUCCCCCUGACAGGUGGGCCCCGCUAGUCGGUCGCAAAGCACGGGCGUAAGGGGGGCGUGGAGCUAGGCCGCAGGGUUGGGCUCGGCCUACUGGCCUACGGUGGUGCGGGGUGGGCCGUGGCCCAUGCGGGCGAUUGCAUCGCGAGGGGAGGUGCUCAGCCGUGGGGAGAGGUAGCCGGCCGAGAAAGAAGAGACGACUUUUUUCUUUUCUUUUUCUUUUUGUAAAACAGAAAUUCUAAACUAUUUUGCCAACCAAUUUCCAAACUAUUUUCAAACCAUAUUUCAAAAUAAAUUUGAGUCAAUACUUAGGGAUUAUUUUGGAAUUUGCUUUUUAGACUAUUUUGAAAUCUAAAUAUAUUUUAGUUUAAACACACUUCUAAAUUGUUUUCCAACUUGAAUUUGAAUUAGUUUUCAAAUAGGACUUUUGGAGUUUUGUUUUCCAAAAACCAAUAGGACCUAAACGCGACUCGCUAGAAAUUUUGAAAUUCAUUUUUUCCACAAGCCAAACAAAGCUAGGGCACAAAGCACACAAUAACAAAACAAAACACCCUUCACUUAUCUUUAUAAAAAUUUUUAAAUUCCACAUUUUUCUCUCUUUUUGAAUUCAAUAAUUAAAUGUAUCUUGGAAUAUUUUAGAGAAAUUUUAAAUCCUUAUUUAACUUAGUUCUUUCUAAUAACAAUCCAAAAUUAGAAAUUUUGGAGUGUUAUAUGCGCAGAGAGGAUCGCAAAGACGCUCGAUCACCGGACUCAUGCGCAGAGAGGGUUGCAAAACCCCCUCACACGAGACACACACCGCCGGACGCACUCAGAGCGUCCGGUGCUCUCAGUCACACACCCUCUGCUUAAGUCAGGCCACACCGGACGCAUGAGUAGGGAACACCCUACGUCCGGUGCUCAACCCUAAUAGGGCCAAACACUAACAGCACAUCAGACGCUCAGGCCAGCGUCCGGUGCCUCCGCGCACUGCGUCCGGUGCACUCCCGCGACUUUUGCAAAUUUCCCACCGGCGCAAUAGAAAAUAUACACUUAAUUUUCUCAAAAGCGCCGAAUCCCUCUCAACCCGAGGAACUCAAACCUCCUUUGCAAAUGUGCUAACACCAACAAGUGUUCACCACCAAAGUGCAUGUGUGUUAGCUUUUCACAAACAUUCUCAAUGGAGUUAGGUUAGCACUUUACUAGAUCCUAAUGCAUAUGCUCAAGAUGUGGACCUAGUAGCACUUGAUUAGAGAGAUGACCGUGAUUUCCCCUCUUGAUAGUAGGCUAUCAAUCCUAAAUUCGGUCAGUCACUUCUCUACUCAACUAACACCGGCAAAAGCAAAACCCUAUGUUUAUACCUUUGCCUUGUUCACUUUACUCUUUGUUUAUCACCAUGAUCUCCACUUCAUGCUUCAUCACUUUGUGAUUAUGUGGCCACCUUUCCAUGCCACCUUGCUCCUUCAUCACAUGUGUUGCUAUGCCUAACUCAAAUCAUUUAAACACAAGGCAUUAGCAACUUGGUGUCAUUAAUUACCAAAAUCAAACUUGGGAUUUUAGUUGCUGGUGUUUCCUCUUUUGGCUCGGGCUUAUCUCAACUUGUUCUUCAAGGAAUUCAUCAUAGACGCCAGUGUUUGUGGUGUUUUCUAGAAUUUUGUCAAGGAUUGCUUUCCCCUCACUAACAGUUUUAUGUGAAAAGGACCCUCGAGAAGAAGUAUCGAGAAAAACGACAGCUUCUUUGCUAAGGCCAUAGUGAAAGUGUUGUAACAGGACAUGUUUAGGCAUAGACAAAUCUGGGCCAGAUGCAAUUAAAUUUGAAAAUCUUGCCCAAGGUGCUCCUAAGGUUUCCUUCUAUUUUUGUUGGAAAGUGAGAAUUUUAAGACGAAGAGGGAUAAUCUGGGAAAUAGGAAAGAAAGAGAGACAAAAUUUAUCUCGAAGUUUCUUCCAAUCUCCCACUACACUCCUAACAGUAUUAGCAUACCAUUAUUUUGCCCUUUCAGAAAGAGAGAAUGGAAAUAAUUUCCAUUUUAAGAUCUCAUGAUUCAUGCUAGAAAUAUUCAGACAAGAACACAGUUGCUCAAAUUCUCGGAGGUGAAUGUAUGGAUUUUUGUCUUUUUUUCUAGAGUAGGUUUGUUCCCGAACCAUGGCUAUAAAAGCAGGGCAAAUAUGAAAGUCAUCUAUAAGUAUAGGAUGUGAUGAUGGUGGAGGCUCUAAUAAUUCACCCUUUAGAGCGAAAAAUUGGUAGAUGGUUGUGGAAUCCAUGUAGGGGUAAAGGUAAUGGUAAAAAAAGGAAAAAUGAUAAACAAACGAACUUGGUCGAAACUAGCACAGCUACCGUUCCCCGGCAACGGCGCCAGAAAGCUUGUUGGAAUCUUAAAUGCAAAUAGAGAAAUCCGCAAGCGAAUGGAUACCGAUGUAGCUUUCGCCCGGGAGUAUUCCAGAGUACCGAUUUUCCACAAGGAUCGUGAUGUGUACUAAUUAAGGUUCAAGAUCGUCCAACAGUAAAGGUGAAAGUAUUUUAGUGGGUAGAGAGGAUGUUUCUAAGGUUUCUCUAUGGAUCUAUAAAUCGAAUUAACUUUAAAUUCUACUUAUUUCAGGACAUCAGAGCACUUAGCCACAGAUAGAUGAGAAGGGGGCUAGGACAGUCUAGCUACGGUCCUACAACACCAAUCCAAACGUGGUGGAAUACGUCGGCCAUCAGGGAUGUCAGAACCUAGGGCUACCACAACUAUCCGUAGAACUGUGUGUAAUUCUAGGUAAUAUAUAGACUAAGCACCACGCAUAACCUAUUAAUUACUACUCUAGCAUUGCAAAGACUAGAGCACUUGAUGCAAGCGAGAAACUAAUAAAUGAACUUAAAGUACUGAGAUUAAGUAAAUAAAGAACUAAUAUGUGCUGAAUGAUGAACCAGAUACUGCAAAAGUAUAAUGUCAAGGAAGAUCAGACAGAUUCGGCUCCUCCUUCGCUCUCUACCUCUUCUGAUUACAACUAGAUGAACUAGAACUUGAACUAGAAAAACUAGAACUAGAUGAACUAGAGGGACACUACAAACCCUAAUUUGUGGAUAGAAUAUGAGGCACUGGGUGUAGAAUGCCUCAUGGGGGGUGCCUUGGGCAUCAUUAUAUAGGACGAGGUGGAGUAGGGGGCAAGGAAAUGCCACGUUAGCGAUCCGCGUCUUCAUCUUGUGUGCACCAUCGGAUCAAACUGACUUAAAAUCGACAGAGGGUUACUUUGCUUGGCUUCCUAGGAGGUGUAGGAGGAAGAAUCCAGAAGGCGGCGGCCAUCAGGCGAAAUAGGGCACCGACCGGCCCCACCUUCUCUCCUUUGCGGGUCUUGUUCCUUCGGGUGACUUCUAGACCCUUCCUGAGCCUGAUGACGAUAUUUUCUGUCGUGGAUAAGUUUUGUGAUAAUUAUGCACUCUAAUCCUUCUUUUAUGCUUUUAUGGAAUAAUCCUUGGGAAAUACGAAACAUGCAAAACUCAUGGAAAUUGUUAGUUAAAACCCUAGACUAGUGGGAAUUCAUGUAUCCUUUCAUGUCUAAAGUUCUAAUAAAAGUUGACGUUAUCCAUCGUCAACAGCUGAUCAUUUGUCUUGGAUGUAUUUUAAAGAACCUAAAGAAUUACCUAUUAAUGAGUCAUUAAGAGAUGACUUGCUAUUUAAAGUGACCAAGAUAGAUCCUUGGUACGCAAAUAUUGUCAACUUUAUGGUUGCAGGAUACGUACCACUAGGAGAAAAUAAGAAGAGUCUCAUUUAUAAAAGUCUUCUCCACAUAUGGGAUCCACUCUACCCUUUUUGGGUAUGCUCAGAUGGGUUUCUUAGAAGACGUGUACCAGUGGAGGAAGGCAUGUAGAUCAUUCAAAGUGUCAUGCAUCACCAUAUGGAGGUCAUUAUGGGGUAUUCGGUACUCAUGCAAAAAUUUGGUAGACUGGCUUAUUUUGGCCAACCAUGUAUGAAGACACCAAAGUUUUCAUCCCAAGAUGUGGGUCAUGUCAGAGGCACGGAAAUAUCAAUACUAGAGAUGCUAUGUCACUCACCAACAAUCUUAGAAAAGAACUCUUUGAUGUCUGGGGAAUUGAUUACAUGGGACCAUUUGUGAAAUCAAGGAAUUAUGAGUACAUUUUGGUGGCAGUUGACUAUGUAUCCAAGUGGUAGAAGCCAUGCCAUGCAAGAAGGCUGAUUCAAGACACUCAAAGAAGAUGUUUGAAGAGGUUAUAUUUCCAAGGUUUGGAACACCUAGGAUGGUUAUAAGUGAUCGAGGAACACAUUUCACUGAUAAGAAGUUUCACUCAUGCCUACAAGCUCAUGGAAUACGACAUAAUAUCGCUACUCCAUAUCAUCCUUAGACAAGUGGCCAGGCAGAAACAUCAAAUAAACAAAUCAAAAACAUUCUCUAGAAAACAGUAAAUGAGAUGGGAUCUUUAUGCAGGAUCGGUUACCAGAUGCACUAUGGGCAUACCGGACAACUUAUAAAACACCGUUGGGUAUGUCACCAUAUCAUCUGGUAUAUGGUAAGACCUACCAUUUGCCAGUUGAACGAUAACAUAAAGCUCAAUGGGUUAUCAAAAGAUGGAACAUGGAUUUAGAAGCCACUAGAGAGAAAAGAAAAAUGCAAUUAUCAUAACUAGAAGAAUGGGGAGAAAAGGCGUAUCACAAUUCGAAGAUCUACAAAGAACGAAUGAAGAGAUGGCAUGACAAAAGGAUCAAGAAGAAGGAAUUUGCACCAGGAGAUAAAGUAUUACUUUUUAAUUCUAGUUUCAAAUUAUUCGGGCUUGGAAAAUUGAGGAGCAAAUGGGAAGGACCCUUCACCGUCGUGAAUUCAUCACCACACGGAGCGGUAACUCUACAAUCAAGUGAAGGUACGUUAUUGAAGGUAAAUAGACACUAACUUAAACUUUAUUUAGAACCGUUUGAUUCACAAGUAGUUGAUGAAAUAGAAUUCAUCCAAUUGCCAGCAUAUUAAGCUCUAUUUAUUCCGAUAUGAAAUUUUAUCCAAAAACAUAUCUAACAGAAAAUAGGAAGAGUCUAAAGGCACCACAUAGAAGGGCACCCGAGGUGGGCCCCUGGUGGGGCCGAUCGGCGCCUAUGUGGGGCCGGUCGGUGCCCCCUGCCGCCUCUCAUCCCGACUCUCGUUCUCUGUCUUUCUACACCAUUCCUCCGAAUAUUUGCGCAUCAUCCAAUCGUAUUCGGAUAUUCUUUUGUACGGAUCCCGUAGAGCCUAGGAUUUGUCCUCAUCCUGUCUCCUAACCCAUAUAAAUACGUAUCUAGACCCCCUCAAUAGUAUCCCAUAACCAGCCACCUCUUCCCUCAGAGAAACUCUCUAAUCUAGAACUAUUAGCAAUGGUGGACAAUGCAAUCAUCUCCUACGGCAUGGACUUCAACAACAUCCCAAGCGAUGACUCGAAGGCCCUCGUCCUCGCACAGCCGAAGCCUCUUGCCAUUGUGUCACCGAAUCCUCUCGUUGUUGUGCCACUGAAGCAACUCGCUAUGGUGCCCUAGCGUUAUGAGCAAGCCUACUACAUACAAGAUCCAUCUGCUCUACCUCCAACUCCUGCAAGACUACUGCUUGAAGGAGGUACUAAGGGGAAGCAAAUUGUAUCCCAUGGGUACUGCGCUUCUUCCACCUAGAGACAAUGAACGGCUCUUGUUGGUCCAAACUGACAAGAAAGGGAAGCUAAUAUGUGCCAAGUACACCACUGCUCAUCGUAUUAUCCAAGGAGUGCGCGCAAACCCUAAUGAGGUAUGCUACACUAAGCAUAUCGCACCUAAGCCCAAGCCCAAGAGGAAGAGAGCAACAUCAAUAUUAGCACUGGAAAAAGUUCCCAAUCAGCCAGCUCCUACCCUGCACACCCUCAAUGAGAAGCUUGAAGGCCUCUCCGACAUUGUCAAGAGUAUGGAAGCAUCCAAAAAUUUGAGGGACAAGCUCAUAGAAGACAUGGAUACUCAGUUAGGGAUCGGUUUCAAGUUAAUCUGCAGCCUCAACCGCGAUAAAGACAAGCUUGUAGCAGAGGUUGCACCCUCCAAGAAUUAAUUCAGGGCCUCAACAAUGAAGGGCAGCCUUAGUUGCCCAGUUAUCAUUGAAUAAGGCACAAUUCUGCCAGGUUUGGCUAGUUAGUUAGGUUAGUUGAGUCAUAAAUUUUUUUAGGACAAAAUCCUAAUGAGCUAGGGCAGUCGUUAGCUCAGUCGUUAAAGUGUCUGUUAAAUUAUAUAUUAUCGCCACCAAGAAUAAAGUGUCUUAUCUUUUAUUUAUUGUACUCUCUAUAUUUCUUUUGGUAUGUGUUUGUCUCUACAUAUUGCAUAGAAAAGUAUGCACGAAAACAAGUGUGGGGGAGGCACAUUGUAGUCAUGAAAUGAAAAUUCAAUCGGAAAAAUAGCGUAAUCCAAAACAAAAUCGAACCAAGACCACGCAUGGCUAAGUGGGCCCCACAUUGCCCAAUAGUGGGGCCGGCCGAUGCCCUAGGUGGGGCUGGGUGGCGCCCUGCUCACUCGUCUUUGCUCUCACUUUGGUCACGGUCGGGUUUCAGUUAAUUGUUGACGGUCCUUAAGUCCAACGGCCCAUAUUCACUUGAGAGGACUAUAUAACCAGAACCCCUGGCCUCUGGAGGAGAACAAGUUCAUCAUAGAGUUGAGAGGAGCCCUCGAAGGAAUACCUCUCCUCUAAAUAGACUUAGGGCCUAGCAUCUAAUGUGAGAGUAGAAUUAGUUCUUCUAAGUUCUACUAUAUUGAGAGAGAUAGAGUGGAGGUGUAGAUCGGAGGAAGCCCGACCUGUCGGUGUCUACUCCGAGGUUGUACCUGCGGGAUCAAGUCUUCUAACCCGAGGCUUGCUCCUAGGAUUCUUCACUAAUUCGACCUCUCGUUAGCAGGAAGGGUAGGGUUUAUCGGCCUAAGCAUAAGCAUCCUUUGUGGUGUACUCUUAUCACAUGGUUUGUCCCAGACAUAAACAUACCCCUUUGAAGUAGAGAAACCAUAGUUAUUCUCUCUAUUCUGCUACCAUCGCCCAUAUACUAGAAUUGCUCUAUUCUCUAUUCCCAUAUUAUCACUCACUGUUAUCUUACCUUUAAUAUUGUUCUUAUUCGAUUCUACCAUCUUUCCUAUUUACACUUAUUUACUUAUCUUGGUUAAGUUAGAGCAUAGAUUAGUUCUCCCGUUUCCCUGUAGAUACGAUAAAACUUUUAACCGGGUAAAAGCUAUAACGGUAUCCGUGCACUUGCGGAUUAUCUGUGUGCAUAUAAAUACCAUAGUACACUCUAGUGCCAUGCUGGGGAUGACAACCUAGUAUUCAAGUGGUGUUAGCAAGUGUAAACAAGCAUUUUUGGCGCCGUUGCCGGGGAGACGGUUGCUGAGUUGACUACGAACUAGCUUAAUCAUUUUCUAAAAAAAAUAAAUAAAAAAAUAUUUUCCUUUUAUCCUUUGCCUCAUCUCUGCUAAUCUUUCUUCUUAUCUAAUCCUUGAUCUCUGGUCUAUCAUGAAUUCAAACAUGUCAAUCUAUGAAUUUCAUAGACCUACGGGCACACAUGAUGCGUCACGUUGUCCCUAUCUUCACGACGUAGGAUGAACAUCGAUAACUAGCUGAAGAUCAGCCGGAUAACUUGCUGCAAGCAGCGAUAACUAGUGCAACCUGGCAAAUAGAACUCGAAGCCAACCACCGUCUUUAACCGGCAACCUGAAUCGAGGAUUCGCCCAACUACACUCUCAAGGAACCAACCAACACAGCCUACAAUCAAUCAAGGAAUACCUUGAAGGGAGUAGGAGCACCAAUUGGGAGCGGAUGAAGCCGCCGCCUAUGUAAUCCCGCGAGGAAAUCACAAGAGCAAAGGGGUAGAGAUCACUCUCUGGAUUUGUUAGCACGCAGCUGAACAAAGGGGUUCUGUAUUUCAAUUAUCAAAGUCUGAGAUUACAAUGAGUCUUAGGGGGUAUUUAUACUAGCAACAGCCCUGCUAGAUAGGUAUGAAAACGAAAUAGAGUUUCUGAGGGAAGAAAAUGUGAAAGGUCCCCUCGAAAUAGAUUCCCGAAGUGGCUUCGCGUGACUGUUGGCCUCCAGAGCAGUUUCCAAUAAACUGACCAUAACUUUUUAUUGGGAAGUCCAAAUGAUGAACCGUUUCUUGCGUGUGAAACUAGACUCAAAGAGCUUUCCAGAAAUGUAUGCCAACCAGCACGAAACGUUGUAGAUUGGUACAGUUUUACCUGGCAAGUUGUACCAACAUUCUGUCACGACAGACUAUUGACCUUCUGAGCAGUCUGUACUAAUUCUAGUCUGCAGGCAAUAUGGUGUAUCCAAACUGGUCGCCACUAGAUUCAUUCGAAAGUAGACUCGUCAAGCUUUCCAACAAGUACUCAUGGACCUUCAUAGAUUUUGUGAGUAAAAAGUUAUGAAGAUUCUUUGCACUGGUCUGUUUUUGACUUCCACUGGUCCGUUUUUUGACUUCUUCUGGAACUUGCACUGGUCCGUUCUUUAUGGUCCGAUUCUUCCUUCUCUUCUUCUAUAUACCUGAGCACAAUCAAGGUACAACACUUAGGUAGUAUAUAAUUAUCAUUAAUGUUAAAAUGAAUCUCACAAAUUAGCAUGUGGACCUCUUGUUGUAGCUUCUUUGCACGACUACGUGUAAUCGGUCCAUCGAUGACUUGAGCUGGUGUCGGUGUAGGUGAAACUUGAGUGGGUGUAGCUUGACUUGGAGCUUGUGACAUCUUGCUUGGUGGCGUGGUCAUCUCAACACAUCUCCAACCACCAAAAUCUUCAAAGCCUAUCAUAGCAUCUAGUUUUGAGAUAGACCCCGAAUACAUAGAAUUUGUUCAAAAACAACCUUUCUCAGGAGAAGGUGAAGAAAACCCACACACACACCUAAGAGAGUUUUAUCGAGUCUGUGACCUCCUUCGCAUAGAAGGAAUGUCCGAUGAGACCCUUAAAUGGAAGCUCUUUCCGUUCUCUUUAACGGAAAAAGCUAGACAUUGGUACAAACUCAAAAUAGGGAGUGUUCAUGGAGAUUGGAAUGAGUUAUAUAGUAGUUUUCUUUCUAAAUAUUUUCCAAUCUCCAAAGUGGCGGAACUUCGGCGUGAGAUUAUUUCUUUUAGACAACUGGAAGAAGAAUCUCUUAGGAAAUCAUGGGACCGCUUUAUUAACCUUACUCUCACUGGCCCAAAGCUUUCUAUUCCAGAAGAAGUUCUUCUAAUUCACUUUUUUGAGGGCCUUAGUGGGAAAAUAAGCAAACCUUGAAUACAGCCUCUAGAGGAUCCUUCUAUCACCUACCUGCUAGUGAAGCUUGGAAUUUGAUUGAUUUAUUAAGUGGAAAGUCUCCUAGCUUUUAUAUCCCAGAGAAAGAGACAGAACCAGUUCCUAGACAAGAAGAAGAAGUUUCGAUAGCCAGAUCACAACCACUUCAAUUCUAAACUUUAGCUAUCGAUCCUAAACCAUCAAUACCCCAAAAUUCUCCAAGGGAGGAAGAAAUUCUGACCUUAAAUCUUUCAGAUACUGAUGGUUUAGACUUCUGGUUCCAUAAGAGACCUUCAAGCAGGGAUAAUUCAAAUCCUCACAAUAAUAGUUCUUUUAGAGAAUGUCCUGGUUCCUGUUAUGAAGAAGUCGAGGAUGACAUAUCAAGUGAAGGAGAGCUAAGCCAUAUUGGAAAUUCUAACACCUCCCCUUUCCUGAUCACAAGUUCUAAAUGGCUAGAAUGUGUAGAGUGGAUGGAUAAGGAAGAAGCCUUAAUGAAUUCUGACUUUGGUUCAAUUUCAAAUGGUGAGUUCUUGACUCCCUUUGAAGAUGAGAUUCAUCCAACCACAGAAGAGGACAUAAGUGAGACCAAUCUAAGAGAAACUCUGAACAUUUAGAUUGGAGACGAAGAUAACAUUAAUGAGCAUGGAAUUUAUUUCAUAGACACUUUGUUUACUCCAUGCUCAUAUGCAAUAUCUUCCCAAUCUAUUGGUCUCUCCAACAUCACCACAUUUGAGAUCUCCAACCCCCUCUUCCUUUCUAUUUAUAAAAACUUUAAAAGGGCGGUUGUCGAUGCAUAUGUCUAUAAUAAAUAUUGCAGAUCUCGUUGAGUUGAUCUUGAUUUAGGUCAGCGUUGGAAAGGAAACCACUUCGCUGACAUAAAUUGAUGGUUUCCCAAGGACAAUCUUAGUGUCCUAAAAUAAGCACUGAUCAGACGUAACACGAGCUUUUAAUUCUUUGCAACAUUACCUUGUGUAUUGAGCAUAUAAGGAUAAAUGUAAAAAUAUUCCUUCGGGUAUUCUUGUCACUAACCUUUCCAGGAUUGGAACAAGAAGAUCAGAUGAAUGACAAGCAAGUACAAGGUAUGUCCAACCAAUCAUCAUGCAACACUAAAUUAAAUUCAUCCAAACUUGAAUUCUGCAAAAUUCAAGCUUAGGCGAGUACUUUACAAACAUCCUUUGCCAUGUUGCUAUGUUGGUUGUCCCUACCUUUAAGACAUGCUCAAUUUGUUAAAUACUAAUCACACUACUUCAUCUCCACUUGAGUAGAUCUCUAUAAAUGUUGUCAUGUUACCUUUGUCUACUUACUAGUAAGUGUUAGUUUGGAAGUACUGCACAUACUUCUAUUGGCUUUUAAAUUAAGCAUGGUGCUUAGGUUAAACAGCCUUCUUUAAUCUGAUUAGACAUGGAGUCUAGUUCGGUUAUUGAACUAAAAACUACUUGUGUAGACAUUGGUAUAUUUUUGUCGGACUAACCCCUGCAGAAAAACUUUCAAUAUCGAUUUGGGAAGUCCUGAGAUAAACUCACAUCAGAGACGAAGAGAGUGACACAUGAAGUUUAACAAUUUGCACAAGAAGGACAUAGCUCAUUCAUCAUAGAGAGAUGAUCCAAGGAGGGUGCCACAAACACGAUGCACAACCGCUAAGAAAGGAAAGCUUCCACAAGGUGAUACUUUACCAUCACUCUUCAAGCAAGGUAACAUGUUAAGGUACUUGACUAUCACUUUUAUAAGCUUCUCCUUGGUUCUGGCGUUCAUAUAAAUAAAAGAGACAAACAUGUAUGAUUUACAACUCUAGAUUAACCAACCCAACUGAUUCAACAUGUUUAGUCCUUUAAUCCUUGUUCUUAGUACUACCUCCAUGAUCCCACACUCCUAAUCAUUUGAGCUAAAAUAUUACACAUUCAAUCAUUGAGAGAUAUAAAGAAAAAGACAUAUACAUAGAUAGAUUAUCUUUCCAUAAGGUUGAGCGAUCUGAUCUGACAAAUGUCAUAAGUGCUACACUCAUGAACUUUUCAUCCAUCAACUUUGUCUUGCUCACUAUGCUUAGGGUUAGAGAAGAAUAAAUACACUUUAGUUUCUGUUGGUGUUUUCCACCAACAAGACCCAUGCACUUGAUCUCUACCUUGUCUCUAUGAGCAGGUACACUUUGAGCAAAACACGGAGGAGUUUUAUAACUCUCAGACUCUACCAAGUGAAGGACCUGGAUCUACGAGCACAAACACACUGAGCAGGAUACUGCCAACGUCGCACUUCGAACUGCUGGGCAAACGAAGAACGUGGGUGACACCGUAUCAAGAGGUGCAGACGUCAAGGUCCGCACCUGAAUCAAAUGACGCACCUGAAGAAUGAACACGGUGAGAAGUCUUGUCAAGAAGACUUAAAACAUUGAACCCUCGCCGAAAGGUAAGAUCAGUAGUUAUCCAUAUUUAUCCCUUCUGAAUUCUCUUUUCCCUUUAAUUAUUUACUUUCCUUAAAUAGAUUAUUAGUUAAUCAUGCUAUCUUGAAAAGAAAAUAAAAAUGUUAAAAAAUACUAAGCCCCAUGUGAGUAUACGAGUGACAUAAAACCCAUAAGUACCUUCACUGUGGUGGCAUAAAAAUAAAAUAAAUAUUUCUUUUCUGCUUUAUAAAAUAAAAAUAUAAAAACAGGGAGUAAUAUUUAUCGAGGAAGCUCAACAUGAUGAAGGCUAGAUAUUUAUGCUAACACUUAAUUAGUUCCACAAGCUUUGUUGUCUAUUUGAGCUCCACAGAAUUUAAGAAUCAAGAAGGCUAGCAGAUGGAAGACAUUCUAAUCGCUGUCAGAAUGUUGCUGACUUUCAAAUACACCUCUGCCACCAGCUAGCUACAUCAAGAGAAAUUACGUCAAAAUUCAGCUUGGGGGAGAGCACCCUCAUUUAUCUCGCUAAGUAUUUCUACCUAUCUUUAUACUUAUAUUAUAUUAGAAUAUUAAAAUACAUAAACUAUGAAAAACCAAAUAACGAUUUUGUGCUUAUAUAUAUAUAUAUAUAUCUUUUGCUUAGUGUGUUUAAUAAAUAAAUAAAGUGGCUAUGCUAAUCUGAAUCUUAAUAAUAAAACUCUAGCAUGGAUAUGAUGAAUAGUUGCUCUGCCAUGACUAGUUCUCAAAAAUUGAAUUCUCUCUCAAGUUUAGGCAUGACUGUUAUGAAUUAAGAUUUGCUCUAAACCUGAACUUGUGGGAAGAGUACUUGAUCUAAAGUCUAAGUCGUUAACGGAUAUGAUAUGGGAUGGUUGAGUUGCUAUUUAUCUGUUCCUAGAGAUGCUAGAAAUCUAGAGAAUUUUAUCUUUGAAAAUCUUUAAACUGUUGCAUGAUGAGUUCCUGUAUGAUGGGAGUUUAAAAUCCUACCACAGCCAUAUAUAUACAUGCUUAUUAGACUAUGAACCAUACAUUUACUUUUUACUGCUUAUGAGCAUUGAGUGUGGUCCAGCUGUGUAGACCCUUAGGAGCUUAUCAUAUGGUUAAAUCAAGAUCCACUUGCACGUUCACUCAUACAUGCUGCUACUACUCUGGAAGUACGCAUCCACAUACAUCCACUCAUUUCCAUCUCCAGAUUCACCCAAAAAUAUUCUACUCCUAAUCUGGGAGAGAAUAGCCAAAAAUAUUUCUGUUUUCCCUUGUGAAAUAAAUGCUCAAGUUAUCUUGCUGCUACCACUUGCUAUAUUAUCUCAAGAGAUGAGUGCUCUGAAAAGAAAAAAAAAGAGAGAAAAGAGAAGAAAAAAAUUAAUAAAAAAAUAAUAAAAAAACGAGGAAAUAAAAAGGGGCAAGUGCCCGGAACCUCGAAAGAAAGAAAAAGUGAGACGAGAGGUAAAAAUGGACAAGUGUCCGACAAUAGAAUUAGGGGUACAAGAUACCCACCUGAGAGGAAAGAAAAAGAAAAGCAUCUCAUUCUCCUCAUAAAGUUUCAAAAAGCAAGGAAGGUAUGUAUCCCCUCAAAAGAGCAAAAGUAGAAUUAGACUUUCACCAUUGUUAUCACCAUCAUCACCAUACACCAUUCAUUCGCCACACAUGCACAUCUUGAUUUGGCUUAUUGAUUUGUUUCUUUGGAUCCAUGGUUUGACUAUACAAUAAAUGUCUUGUAAGUAUGUAUACUUUAUCUCCCACCUAUGAGCUCCAGAUAUUAAAGCCUUAUUAGAGUAGGGUGAGAGGGAAGGCAAUGUCACUAUGCCUUAUACCACAAAUACCACAUAUCUUGAGAGAAGGCAUAUAACAUCACUGCCUUGGUAAGGAUCCAGAAAUACCACAAAAGAGAGAUUUAGAGAGUCAUACAAGGAAUCUCUGAGUUUUAUUUGAAAAUCUGCAAAAACUCCAGAGCUAUAGCUGAUCAAGAAUAAGAGACAUGGCACUUGGCUAGACUGUUCUAUCAUUUAACUACUCAAGACAGAAGUGACGGUUACAAGUCCCAUGGUGAAAGGUAAAGUAAGUAAGUUUUAGUUCUUGACAGUUUACUCUAACUCAU